Molecule: long non-coding RNA, 52440 nt
Filed under: Triticum aestivum (bread wheat)
Lineage: Eukaryota; Viridiplantae; Streptophyta; Magnoliopsida; Poales; Poaceae
Description: long non-coding RNA (TAES_LNC011233)
Source: RNAcentral
CAUGCAGGGAUGUCGUCUUGCAACAACCCAACAUAGCACAUGCAAGCUCACAAGUAUUGCAACAAAGUUACCAACUGUUGCAACAAUUAUGUUGUCAGCAACUGUGGCAGACCCCCGAGCAGUCACGGUGCCAAGCCAUCCACAAUGUCAUUCAUGCUAUUAUUUUGCAUCAACAACAACAACAACAACAACAACAACAACAACAACAACAACAACAACAACAACAACAACAACAACAACCGUCGAGCCAGGUCUCCUACCAGCAGCCUCAGCAACAAUAUCCAUCAGGCCAGGGCUCCUUCCAGCCAUCUCAGCAAAACCCACAGGCCCAGGGCUUUGUCCAACCUCAGCAACUGCCGCAGUUCGAGGAAAUAAGGAACCUAGCGCUACAGACGCUACCAGCAAUGUGCAAUGUCUACAUCCCUUCAUAUUGCUCGACCACCAUUGCGCCAUUUGGCAUCAUGAGUACUAACUGAGAAGAGAAGAACUCUAUUACUAGAUAUAUGAAACACCGUUUUCUUAAAACAUGGUUUGGUCGUUGUAGCGGUGAAAAAUAAAGUGACAUGCACUAUCAUGUAAGAACCCGAACUAGACUAUUUCAAACUUGGAAAUAAAAGACAAACACAGGUCUUGUCUACAUAUGAUUGUUUGUUUGAGUUCCAUUCAUGUACCCGUUCACAAGUUCACCCCUAAUUAUAUAUAUUAAGCAUUAGUUAGAUGUUUAUGUGCAUUAAUCUAAGGAUAACAAAAUGAAUCUGAAACUUGAAUUUAAUUAAAGUAUUUUCUUGGACUUUCAAAUUGAGCAUUGAUAGUGAGGACUAUCCACAUCCUUGGCUUGCCCUUGAUCAAUUAUUUCCAAAGAAGCAUUCAAUUCAUCAGUCACUUACAUUGAUUUUUGUGGCUUGUACUUCUCCUCAACAUGAGUAUCUUCAUUGCAGCUACUCCAAAUCUGCCACAUAACUGAAGCAUUAAUAGUGCUCUUCCUUGCAUCAAGGAAAUAUGGAUCGAAGAUAUCUCUUGACCAUGUUUUCGGGUGCAACCUUGGGAGUUUUAUGUCAAAAUAUUCUCAAGAAGAAUCCAAGAAUAAACUUGCAUGCUCACGUGUGAAAAGGGCAUAUGAAGUAACAUUUCCUCACCAAGGCCACACAUAGGGCACACACAUAACCCCAUCACAUGCCUUUUUAGUUAUGCAUAUGAAGGUAGGAUAUUUUUCAUUACUCUGCACCAAAAUACUCUUAACUUGGAUUGUACCCUAAGCUUUCGUUGCCUUUUACAUUUUUCUUCCCCAUUAGAUGAACUAGAUAGUCCAGCUACCACACGAUACCUUGUGUUCAUCUCGGCUCUGUACAACAAUUGAACAGAAGAAAUGUCAUUUCUUUACCAUACCCAUGACCAAAUGUUCUCUGCUACUCCCUCCGUCCCAAAAUACUGCCAUCCAUGUCGACAACAAUGAGUCAUAUAGGACCGCUAUGCCUCUGUUGAAGGAGGUGGUGGAGCGAUCCGGAGAUUAUUCUGCCAUCCAUGUUGAGUAAAACCUCACUGGCCACUUGCUCCAACCGCAUACACACCGCCAUAAACAACGGUUGGUACUCAGUUCGGUGUAGCAUACACCAUGUAGGAAGCGAGUGCUUACUCCUAGUUACUGAAUUAUUGUUAGACUAUGUAUAGCUUCUGUACCUAUGUACGUAUAUGGUACAUAUUGUAACACAACCAUUAUAUAUAAUGAGAUAAGCCACCCCUAGAGGGUUGUGCUGGUUCCCCAAAACUUAUUGUCUUACAUGGUAUCACGCUAGGUUACGAUCGCUUCCGCUUCUAAACCCUAAUACCCGCACCGCCGCCGCAGCCGCCGCCGCCUUCACCGCCGCCGCCGCGCCACCGAUCGCGCCGCCGCCAUGUCGAGCGCCGCCAUCACCGGUUCCACUGCUGCGGGCUUCCUCCCGGCCUCUCUUGCGGCUCUGCUCAACCUCCCGCUCGAUGCCGUCUCUGUUCCGGCUCCGAUCGGGACAAGGAGCAUCAGCUCCGUCUUCUCCACGCCGCCGGCGCCCUCGCUUGGGCAUGACCUCGUGGUCCACACCGCGGCGCCGCCGUCCGCUGCGGACUCCGCAGGCGUCGUCCCGCCGCUCCUGCCGCAAGCGGAUCACACUGCCCCACUGGCGGGGUUGGCGGCGUCCGCCCCGGCCGCGGGCCUUGCGGCGUCCGCACCGGCCGCGAGCUUUGCGGCGCCCGUCCUGGCUGCGGUCCCGCCUCCUCCCGCAUCGGCUUCGGUGCCUCCGGCUGCCUCCAUGGUGUUUGCACCCCAGGCAGCCUCCUCGAUGGGAUUGUCUUCGCCGCUGCCGUUUCACUUCGGUCAUCUCAUCACCAUCAAGCUCUCCGCCGACAACUACAUCUUCUGGCGUGCGCAGGUUCUCCCGCUCUUGGGGAGUCACUACCUGCUAGGCUACGUCGACGGAUCGCUUCCCUGCCCACCCGCGCUGGUAGACAGCGUGCACGGUCCGGUCUACAAUCCGGCCCAUCGCGUCUGGACGGGGCAGGACCAGGCGAACCUCUCCUCCAUCCAGGGGUCGCUCUCGCCGGCAGUUGCCGGCCUUGUUGUCUUCGCGAAGACGUCUCAUGAGGCCUGGACCAUCCUUGAGCGCACCUUUGCAGCGCAGUCCCAGGCUCGUGUCUCUGCACUCCGUCGUCAGCUUGGAGAGUGUCAGAAGCUUGACUCCACUGCCACUGAGUUCUACAACAAGGUCAAGGGCCUCGCCGACACAUUGGCCUCCAUUGGACAGCCCCUCACCGACUCCGAGUUCAACUCAUUUAUUGUCAAUGGUCUUGAUGAGGAGUAUGAUGCCUUAGUCGAGAUCAUCAACGAGCGGGGCAACUCGACACCCAUGCUGGCACACGAGGUUUUCUCUCGGCUCCUUCUCACUGAGCAACGGGUCGAGACUCGCCGCACCAGGGGCACUGGCUCCCUCUCGGCCAACGCCGCCACCAAGGGUGGCCGCUCUUCUUCAUCACCCCGGUCUCCCUUGGGGCUGCCACCGUCGCCCGCCUCGGCCCCCCCACCUACUGCGACCUUACCGGGGGCUGGCGGUCCACGUGUGUGUUAGCUUUGUGGCCGCGAUGGGCACUGGGCCUCCAAGUGUCAUAAGCGCUUCCAGCGAAGCUUCCUUGGUCUUGGCAAUGACGGCAAAGAUACACGCAACAAUGCCCGUCAGGUCGCCAUGGCUGAUCGUCCCGCGCCGCAGAAGCAACAGGGACACACUCAGUCCUACUCCAUCGAUCCACACUGGUACAUGGACUCUGGGGCGACAGAGCAUCUAACUAGCGAGAUGGGGAAGCUUCACACUCGUGAACCCUAUCAUGGCUCCGACAAGAUCCACACCGCCAAUGGAGCAGGUAUGCACAUCUCUCAUAUUGGUCAAGCAUCUCUUCUCACUAGACAUGCCAAUAGGAGUCUUCAGCUUCGCAAUGUUCUUCGAGUUCCAUCUGUGACCCGUAAUCUUCUUUCAGUUCCUAAACUCACACGUGAUAAUAAUGUGCUUUGUGAAUUUCACCCUUUUGAUCUUUUUAUUAAGGAUCGGGGCACGAGGGACAUUCUUCUUAGUGGGCGGUUGUGCCAGGGCCUCUACCGUCUGUAGCAUCCUGGUGUCGCUCGUGUUUUCAGUGGAGUUUGGGUCUCUCCGUCACAGUGGCAUGCUCGUCUUGGUCACCCGGCCACACCUAUUGUCCGUCAUAUUUUGCGUCAUCAUGAGCUUCCUAGUUUGUCUAGUCAUAAAGAUGUAGCAGUGUGUGAUGCUUGUCAGCAGGGGAAGAGUCAUCAACUUCCUUUUUUGGAGUCCAGUCGUGAGGUGAAACAUCCUUUAGAACUUGUGUUUUCAGAUGUAUGGGGUCCUGCUCAGACUUCUGUCAGUGGUCAUAAUUACUAUAUCAGUUUCGUUGAUGCUUAUAGUCGCUUUACCUGGCUUUACCUUAUUAAACGCAAAUCUGAUGUGUUUGAUAUUUUUGUUCAGUUUCAAAAACAUGUUGAACGUCUUCUCAAGCACAAAAUUGUUCAUGUCCAGUCAGACUGGGGGGGGCGAGUAUCGCAACCUCAACUCUUUCUUUCAGUCGCUUGGGAUAGCUCAUCGUUUAGCAUGUCCACAUACACAUCAGCAGAAUGGUUCAGUCGAACGUAAGCAUCGUCAUAUUGUUGAAGCUGGUCUUACUCUUUUGGCCCAUGCAUCUGUUCCGUUUCGGUUUUGGAGUGAUGCUUUCAUCACUGCAUGCUUUCUCAUCAACCGUACUCCUACUCGUGUUUUAAACAUGAAGACUCCCAUUGAGGUUCUCCUUAAUGAACAACCUGAUUAUACCUUUCUCAAGGUAUUUGGGUGUGCUUGCUGGCCGCAUCUUCGUCCAUAUAACAAGCGCAAGCUUGAGUUUCAUUCUAAGAAGUGUGUUUUUCUUGGCUAUAGCUCUCUUCAUAAAGGUUACAAAUGUCUUCAUGUUCCCACUAAUCGUGUCUAUAUAUCUCGGGACGUCGUGUUUGAUGAGCAUGUUUUUCCCUUUGCCAACCUUCCUGUGUCCACUGUCGAACCACCAUCCCUGCAUUCAUCCUCUGUUGCUUCUGACCAAUUUGAUGAUGUUGCAUACUCUCCUUUGCUGUUACCUAACCAUGGUGCAGGAACCGGACGUGGAGCUCGUUUGGAGCUGUUGGAGGAUUCACCAUCAUCAUCGUCGUCUUCUGGUGGGCACGUCGAUCGCCCUAUGUUGCAUGGCAUCGAUUCACGUGCCCAUGCAUGGUCACCCGACGAGCCCGUCGCGCCGAGCAUCUCCACUGCUCGGUCCGUUUCGCAAGCGGCCGCCGAGUCGCCCGCGGCUCGGCCCGUCACGCCGUCUUCGCCUGCGGCUCGGCCCGUCACGCCGUCUUCGCCCGCGGCUCGGGUCCUCACGUCGCCUUCAUCAGCGGAUCGGCCCGCGACACCGGCCGCGCCACGGCCCACUAUGCCGAGCUCGCCAUCGGCCCGGUCUGUGAUGCCGGAGUCGCCAGCUGCUUCGUCUGCUCUGCCGGUUUCGCCGGUGGGUCGGCCUUCUUCGCCAACCGAGUCCGAGGCUACCGUGACUGGCUCCUCGUCACCGGCUGACUCGUCAACGUCGCCGUCCUCCAGCCCGUUGCAGGCUGCUCCGUCGACCUCGGUGGUUCCUGUGUCCCGACCACAUACACGCAGUCGCAGUGGCAUUUUCAAACCUAAGGAACGUAAGGAUGGUACGGUUGUUUGGUUGGCUGCUUGUUUGGCUGCUGCUGUUGCGGAUCCAUCUUCUGAGCCUCGCUCAUAUCAGGCUGCCCUGCGCAUUCCACAUUGGCGAGAGGCUAUGGAGCAGGAGUUUCAUGCUCUUCUUCGUAACAAGACAUGGACUCUCGUUCCUCCACCACCACGGGUAAAUGUUAUUGACUCAAAAUGGGUAUUCAAAGUGAAGAAGCAUUCGGAUGGAUCUAUUGAGCGUUACAAAGCGCGACUUGUUGCUCGCGGUUUUCGGCAGCGUCAUGGUCUUGACUAUGAGGACACCUUCAGUCCUGUCGUCAAGCCUACCACUAUUCGGCUUCUUCUCUCCAUUGCUGUUUCUCGUGGUUGGUCACUUCGUCAACUUGACGUGCAGAAUGCUUUUCUACAUGGAUUUUUGGAGGAAGAGGUUUAUAUGAAACAGCCGCCUGGUUUCUCUGAUCCUGAUCGUCAUGACUAUAUCUGUCGUCUUUCCAAAGCACAACUAACCUGAUGUAUUUCUUAUUAAAACACACAAACAACUUGAUUUCCAGCAAGAAUACAAACGUGUAAGCUGAGAACUGCACACCUCAGCCCGGCGAACACUCCAGGCCGCCGUGGCACGUCCCGGAGAAGAUUGAACGCAUAUAGCAACAACAUAUCUGUACACGGCAAUAUCGGAAGCACAUCGGCGAACACUUGAGGCCGCCGCCACACGUCGAUUGCAGGCAUAACAACAACAAAUCUAGACGCGGCAAUGUCGGAUGCACAUUGGCGAAAAGUCGAACACUCAACGCCACCAGCGCACAUCCCGGAGAUCAAAGGCGCAACAGCAACACAUCUAUACGCGGCAAUGUCGGAGGUACAUCAGUGAAUACUGCAUCGCCACACGUCCUCGAGAUCUUACGCAUGGCAACAACAAAUCUAUACGUGGCAACGUUGGAGGCACGUGGGCCGGUGAAUCGAAGGCGGGAUAGCAACACAUCCAAUGCAAAGCUCAAGAUGCCGGGACUCCCAACAGAUCAAAGUCAUGACAGCGUUAUCAUCAACUUUGUACAAUAUGUCUCCACGUACUACCUACAUAUAUGUAAUGAAUAAAAAAUAAUUUCAAAUUUCGUUUGAGGGUAACAACAAUACGAUGUACAGAGCCAAAAGGAGAGAGUAGAGCAAUACGUGCAUCUUUUUUUUUUUGUUGAGAGAAGAAUAAACUCACGUGCAUCUAAGCUACCGAUGUCUCAACCCUAGCCUAAAAAAAUUGCCAAGUGUCUGCAUCUACGGAUUGGACGCUAGACUUUGUAUUAUUCUUUUAUGUUAGCAUACGUUGAUAGAUUGGUGCAAAUAAGUUUGAUGUCAAAAAACUAUAGCAAGCACAUAGCUCAAAACUAAAUGAUUGACCCAACAAAACAAAAUAUUACAUAAAUGUUACUGUCGCUUUAAGCUAGAGAAUCUGCACAUUUGAUCAGGGGUCAAUCGAAGGACAAACGUUUGCGGGUAAUUUCUAUGACGUACCAUAAGAAGAAAUAGCCCCUUUAUACUAGCAAACGGGUCCGUGCGUUGUAAUGGGAGAAAAAAAAGAAUCUCCAAUGGCCAUGACCAUAUUUUGCUGCAUCACCGAGAUACCCUAUCACUCUCAAUUUUGUGAAAUCAUGAACAAUUUUUGCAAUCACGAACAUAUUUUUAAACUCUUACACAUAUUUGAAAUCAUAAACAUUUUUCAGAUUCAUGAACACUUAUACAAAUUUUAGAACAUUUCUGAAAUCAAGAACAUUUUCGGAAUUGAUGAACAUUUUAUAGUAUUUGCAAACAUUUUUUAAAAAACUUGAACAUCUUUAUAAACAAUUUUUUUAAUCAACAAACAUUUUUAUGGAAAUUGGUGGAACAAUUUUAGAAAUUCACGAACAUUUUUUGAUUUAACGAACAUUUUUUGAAAUACAUGAUCAGUUUUUGAAUUAGUGAACAUUUUCUGAAUGACUAAACUAUUUUGUAAGGCACCAAUAGUUUUUGAAUUUUAGGAUAUUUUCCCAUUCAUGAACAUUUUUCUGAACUGGUGAUUUGUUUUUCAAUUUCAUUAAUAAUUUUUGAUACACGAAANNNNNNNNNNNNNNNNNNNNNNNNNNNNNNNNNNNNNNNNNNNNNNNNNNNNNNNNNNNNNNNNNNNNNNNNNNNNNNNNNNNNNNNNNNNNNNNNNNNNUGCAGCCCGCUUCUUUCUCUGUAGUCAGGACGCGGUGACACGCGCUUUGACAUCGGAUGACGCGCUCACAGGCACGGGAGGGGCGGUACAACAUGGCACCAUCAAUGGCAGCCAUGAUGCCCGUGCCACUGUGGUCCCUCUCAGUGUCGACCUGGAGCAACUCGCCACUCCUCGGCUCGUGACCGGCGGGGUUGACGGGCCACCUAGCUAUUGUUUAUGCGAGACAACUCUUUUUCCUGCUCAUCAGAUGCCAUGGAGAAAACUGUUCAAGGAGAAAAAUGGUGAGUGGAGGUGUGAUGCAGUUCUUGCUCGACAUCUGACAUCUAUCUAUUAUAUAAUUAAAACGAUAGAAAACGAACGGUUAAGAUUAAUUGUUCUAAAGUUAAGAAAAAACAACGGUGGAGAUUUACAGCAUAUAUGUUUUUUUUUUUUGAAAAUUACAGCAUAGAUGUUUGAACCACGUGCAUUACACGUACAUGUACAAGACCAAAACAGACGUACAUGUACCAGACCAAAACAGACGACCCGUCAAACAUAGUACGAUUGACUGAUCUCCGUAAAGAAUACGUCCAAUAAGGAAGGAGUCCUGAUUGAUUUCUAACUGGAACACGCACAACUAACCUGAUGUAUUUCUUAUUAAAACACACAAACAACUUGAUUUCCAGCAAGAAUACAAACGUGUAAGCUGAGAACUGCACACCUCAGCCCGGCGAACACUCCAGGCCGCCGUGGCACGUCCCGGAGAAGACUGAACGCAUAUAGCAACAACAUAUCUGUACACGGCAAUAUCGGAAGCACAUCGGCGAACACUUGAGGCCGCCGCCACACGUCGAUUGCAGGCAUAACAACAACAAAUCUAGACGCGGCAAUGUCGGAUGCACAUUGGCGAAAAGUCGAACACUCAACGCCACCAGCGCACAUCCCGGAGAUCAAAGGCGCAACAGCAACACAUCUAUACGCGGCAAUGUCGGAGGUACAUCAGUGAAUACUGCAUCGCCACACGUCCUCGAGAUCUUACGCAUGGCAACAACAAAUCUAUACGCGGCAACGUUGGAGGCACGUGGGCCGGUGAAUCGAAGGCGGGAUAGCAACACAUCCAAUGCAAAGCUCAAGAUGCCGGGACUCCCAACAGACCAAAGUCAUGACAGCGUUAUCAUCAACUUUGUACAAUAUGUCUCCAGGUACUACCUACAUAUAUGUUAUGAAUAAAAAAAUAAUUUCAAAUUUCGUUUGAAGGUAACAACGAUACGAUGUACAGAGCCAAAAGGAGAGAGUAGAGCAAUACGUGCAUCUUUUUUUUUUGUUGAGAGAAGAAUAAACUCACGUGCAUCUAAGCUACCGAUGUCUCAACCCUAGCCUAAAAAAAGUUGCCGAGUGUCUGCAUCUACGGAUUGGACGCUAGACUUUGUAUUAUUCUUUUAUGUUAGCAUACGUUGAUAGAUUGGUGCAAAUAAGUUUGAUGUCAAAAAACUAUAGCAAGCACAUAGCUCAAAACUAAAUGAUUGACCCAACAAAACAAAAUAUUACAUAAAUGUUACUGUCGCUUUAAGCUAGAGAAUCUGCACAUUUGAUCAGGGGUCAAUCGAAGGACAAACGUUAUUAGUCAGGUUGCUCACAAAAAUAAAAACAUAUUUUUCAUUAUGUGAAUAAAGAAUAAAACUAAAUUUAUAUCUGCAGUUCAAAAAUAUGAGUAAAAAUAAAUAGAAAAUUAUUUUUAUCAUAUUAGAUUCAGAAAUGGGAUUUACAUAUAAAUUAUACUGAACAUGAAAUACAAUAAUAAAAUUUAAAAAAUCAAAUUACCGUCAGAUUAAAAUGAAACUUGAUGCAAAUGAAUGGACAAAAAAAGUCACUCUUGGGUCAAUUUUCACAGCUAUUUUAUGAGUAUCUUUGCUUACAUGAAUCUCGAUGAGAGAAUCAGAUAGUUCUGAUCGAUCGUUGAAUGCUAAUUUCACAGUUGUCCGAGAAAUAGCAAUACCAAAAUGUUUAUUACUAACUAUAUAUAAAUAACAUUUUGUCAAAGACGAACGUACCAAUCAUAUUACCCACAUACGAGUAGGAAAUUCCCACCAAAGUUUGAUCAUGUUUCCUCGAGAUGCAUACGUUACCUAUAAUAUUUUUUGUAAAUUAAACUAUAUAUCAACGACAAUGUCAGAAAAAUAAACUAAGUAAUAUCUGUUUCCCUACAUUGGAAAAUAUUGGUAUAGAAUAUAAUAAUAUAUAUAAUUGAACAUGUGGGUGAAGGAAAGAAAAAAGGUUAAGCAAGAAGGUUAGGAGCAAAUUUAUUGCAAGUGCGCGAAUAACCAUUUUAGCUAUUCUAAAAAUCACAUUUCAAUUCAAAAGAACAUAUUCAUCAUCAGAAAAAAAGCUACUCUGUGCUCGAGUGAGAGAAAAUCUAGCAAUUUCCACACCAUUAAAAAAUAGGUUGUCUUAGACUGGACAGCAGCGAAAUAGUAAGGAACAUAGUUUCAUUUUGUUGGCAAUGACUUCUAGAGUAAUAUGAGUGGAAGGACAAAUGCAUAGGGAUGAGAUGGAAAGGGAUUGGGAAAGCUGGCAACCAACAGCUACAAAUCGUGAGACUCCUAGAAAAUUUCAAUGGGACACCAAGUUUAAUAAUUUUUUCUAAAUAUAACUUCUCUAUGUAAAUACUCAUGUAGCAGCUAACCAAAAUCAUCAUGAGAAAAAAACUACACUUUGCUCGAGGGAGAGAAAAUCUAGCAAUUUCCACGCCAUUAAAAAAUUAGGUUGUUUCAGACUGGACAGCAGCGAAAUAGUAAAUAACAUUGUUUCAUUUUCCUGGGAAUGACUUCUAAAGUAAUAUCACGGCAAGGAUGAAUGCAUAGGGAUGAGAAGGAAAGGAAUUGGGAAAAAGCUGGCAACCAACAACUACUAAUUGUGAGACUUUUAGAAAAUUUAAAUGGAACCCCAAGUUUAAUAAUGUUUUCUAAAUAUAACUUCUCUAUAUAAAUAAUCAUGUAGCAGCUAACCAAAAAAAGACAUUAAUUUUUUAGCAAGUCUAGCCGCGCAAAUGCGCGGGUUACAUUGCUAGUUGUUUAAAUAGCGAUGGGACACGAGGAGCCAACCGGCGUUCUGUUUAAUGCCAGCCGGCUGACGAACGAACAUGUGGCUGCAGUAAUUAUCCUGGCACACGCGCGGGUUUAAUGGUGGAAGGCGGGCAGUCUGGAGGAAUGAGGCAGGAUGUGUGUUUAGCCGGCGUGCAGCGGGGCGGUACCCUUGGCGUGCGUGGGGCGGUACUGGAGGCAUGAAUGUGGGCAGCCGGCGCAGAGCGGGAACACGUGUGUGCGAGAGAGGAGGGGGUUUGGGUGGGCACGAGUGGUCGGAAGCAGUCGUGGGUGUUGUCUGGACGCGUGCAAAGCCCCCCUCCCCCAUGUGUUGUCUCCGGUUUGCGGGAGAAAGUACGUCUGGACUGCCCUGUGGACCGAUACAAGCCCGCAUUAGAUGGCACAACACGUCCAGACCAUGUGGUCCGGAUGGUUGUGGACGGUUUAAUUGAGGGUCGGCGUUGGAGAUGCCUUAGAGUUUAUGAAUCCAUUGUGUUUUCCUAAUCAUAAAAAAUCACUUAUAAUAAGUUAUAUGGAAAGACACGUAUAUAAGUUAGGUUCAGACUCCAGCUUUCCUCUUAUAUAUGUUUUCUUUUCUGAUCCGACUGAUUCCAAUAGAGUGAGCCUAGCGUUGUUUUUCUGGAAACUCGAUACACGUUCUUUCAAGCAAAUCACAUCCAUUCUUUUUAACUAAUUUUUUUCUUGUUUUAAUAAUAUAAUAAAUCAUUUGUAUUUCUUAUCUCGAACAGUUGACCUGUAAUUCCUAUUGUAAUCUAAGGAUAAUGUUUGGAUUUUACUUUCAAAUAUUUGAAAUGGCCAUGAUGGAAUCACAUCCAUUUAUUUUAUUAUUAUUUGAAUUUGAUCCAAAAGAUAAAUAAUGAGUACACGUCCUGAAAACUUUUCUGAGAACUUUGGUAAUCAAAAGACAAAAAAGGUUUUAAGAACUGAAGCAAACCACGAAUUUUACUCUCUAUUUUACUAAAGCAAGUGGCUGCUAUUUAGCUCUAGUGAAUACCAAAUUGACCAACAACCUUUUUUCCAAAUUGGAAGGAAUGCAGUUCUCAGCUCUCACCGUGGUGAUUAUACAAUCUGGAUUUUCGAGCUGUAGGUAGUCAACUUAUGUUAGUGGCAUAUGUAACAUAGUGUUGGUCACUGGGAAUGGAUGAAGCCAUGAGUGAAGGAACAGGAAAUGACAGAAGUAUGAUUUGUAGAAUUUCAAAACUCAAAAUAUCUAGUUUUAUGGAGUGAUAUGAAAUAAGCAAACCAACUGCUUAUAAAAAUGUAAAAUUAAACGACAUAUUUAGAAAUGUGAUUGUGAAGUCAUUGUCACAAAAUAUGACCCCACUAAAAAUGAACAUUCAACCUUAUUUUCAGAAGUUUGCAUACAAAUCCCAUGUAAAUUAUGGUAGUGCUCACAAACAAAUAAACUAAAAUCGUGCUUGAUCCACCAUGAAACUUACUACCUUGUCUAUAUUCUUGAAGAGCUCAAAAAAUGCUGAAGCAAUGCCACCUAGCUAGAUAUAUACUUUUGUCAUGUCCAGAGAUUUCCUGCACCAUGAACAAGAAUGCCACCGCAAUAAUAGUCGCUCUUUUGCGACAAAAAAAAUACUGACUUUGGACAGCAAUGCCUGCACAACUACUAUCUGUACGCCAUGCAUGCACCCAUGUAUGUCAGUAAUACAUAUUAUAAGCUUGUGAACAUUGGUUUCAAAGUAGUGAUACCAACAAUACAUCAUCCAGUGAUGGCCAGUCGCAGUACCUAGAUGCCACUUCGGUGCCUGGUUUCAAAGUCGCAAGUUCAUGGCAGGGAAAGCAAUCAUGUGUCUAGAGUAGAGACUUAAAUAAAGACCCAUGCCAUGUAGAUGGAUCAGAUAAUUAUGCCAAUCCUGAUUUUUCAGUGCAAAUCCAGUUCUGAAAUUUCCACUUGUUUAGUUGCUCCCAAAAAGGGCUAUACAGUUAACCAAAAUGAAUUUUGCUCCUAACACCACAGUUUGUUUCCAACGAUCAAGAGAGCGAGCUUCACCAUAGUGAAGUGUGUUUGAUUAAGUACCUGAGCCGGUGUUGUACAUGCAUAUAUGAUAUGUUCACCGCUCCUACCGGAUGCCCGCCGCCGAACUCACCAUCCGUUCUACACAAGCAGCAAAACCGAUCAGAUAAGCUAUUUCGGUUGUUACUUGUAUAGUCUGAUGGAACGAUCAGUUCCAGAAUUACGCCAUGGCGCCAUCUUUUAUAUGCAAUAUACUGUGAACUGAAUUUUCUGUCAGUGAAAUUGACAGAACAGAGUACUACAGGGUAGAGGGGUAGAGCAUGCAAGUGGUGAUUGUUGUGUGGUUUUUGCGUUAGUUAUUUGUGCACCGGGCGUCUAGGUAGCGUUGGCUGGCCAUCUGCAGCUCAUAGGCGCACGAGCACAGCGGUGGCACGCCCAGCACCGCCUCCACUGCCCGCAAGGACGCCACCUAGCCGCCGCCGUAUCUGGAGAAGAAGCAGCAAGCAUGUAAGAGUUUGUCCGUGGACGCUCUAUGGAUCGACCUGAUCGAUCACUCGUUUUGUGCAUGCACCACCACACAUGGCUGAACCGAGCAUCCUCCUGGCGGCGCCCAGUGAGACCGUCCUCGCAGCGGCCACGGCUCGAUGGUUCGCCCCCGUGUGCACGGUACAUGCCGCAGCCUGCAGUCAAAACAGAGCGCGUAGAAGGUGAAGGCAAGGGGAGCUGGUGUGCUGGGAGGGAGACUCCUGGAGCUAGGGAGCACGCCGACGCCAUUGCUCAAGGUGCAAGUUUGUUUCAAUCUUCAAUCCUGCUCGCUGUUGAUUCUGGUUACAGUAAAUUUUAGCUAGAUAUGGUGUAACCUAAGUGUUAUGCCUAGUCUUAAUCUAUCUAUCUAUCCAAUCUUCUAUUCGGCGAGGUGGCUGCGCCUGUGGCAGAUGUGGCCGCUGCCAUGGCCGGCGCAAGACCUGGUCGAUCUCCCUCUUCUGUAUUUGAGAAAAAAAAAUCUCCCUCUUCUCUUCUGAUGAGAAGGGGAAGAGAUGGUGAGAGAUGAAGUCGACGGCUUUGGGGAGAGGAUACGGGAGGACGCCGGUAGUGAGGCGGCAUGAGGAAGACAAGGUGGUUGGCAGCGGCGACGCGUGAGGGGAGGGCAAGGGAGGUGUAGUGGUGCAUGUUGAGGAGUGGGUGUGCAGCGUGCCCAGUUCUCGAGGGAGGAAGGAGGUCGUCAAGGGAGUGAUCCAUGGGAGUUUUUUUUUCCUUCUGAGCGAGCCUAGUUGGGCUCUCUGCAGCGUCUAGGCCCAAUGCACCACAUGUCUUCAAAUUGGCCACCAGUAGCAGCCCAUAGGACAGACAGGGCCAGUUUGCAAAUUUUAAAACAUAAGUUUUUUAGCGCCCAUGAAAAACAGAACACAUAUCUUUCCAAACAUAAUGAACUGUAGGUACCACCAAAAAAACCAUAAUGAACUAUAGGUUGUUACAAGAACUCAUGCCAUCCCACAGCCGCCCUCCCACCCUGCCAACAUUGUUGCAACUGCACUCGCAAGCGUUACCAUAGAUGAUCAUUUGCAUGAUUUCGCGUAAAACAAAAUAAGAUCUACAAACGAAUAGAAGCUACACAUACCUUGGCAUGCACACACAUUGGAAGCCAUACCAAGGUGAUAAGUGUUAAUAACUUGUACAACAUAUACAACAGUUAAGAUAAGUAAAAGCAAUUUGAUGAGUCAUGGUCUAUCAAAGCAAGCUUUAUUACUACUCUAAUCUAUCUUAACAGGUCACACAUGAUUACAAUCCUUUUUGUGUGCAAGUCAAGCUUAUCUAGUUUACACGUAACAACUUGUAGAACAUUACACAAUUGAUGUUUGCUAAUAACUUCUAGAAAGCUAAAACACUUGACAUGUAAAAAGAAUUUGAUGAGUCAUGACCUAGUAAAUCAAGUUACAUUACUAGUCUCAUCUAUCUUAACAGGUCACACAAGAUUACAAACUAAGUUCUGCGCAAGCAAUGCUUAUCUAGUUUACACAUAACAACUUGCAAAACAUUACAAAUUUAGUUUCAAAAAAUUAGGCAAUCUAGAUUAGUGUUUGAGUUGUAAAGUGAAUAAGAUGAGUCAUGUGUGUUAUCACAACUUUUUGGUGGUGGAAUGAUAGUGCCACCAAACACAACAUACCAAAUUAUGAUUUUAGGAAGCAUCCAAGCACUUUCCAGACAAGCAAAUGCCAAUUGUGAAGGAGAUGAUGCCAUGGCAGCUAUAAAUAGGCCUGUAGCAUGAUGAUCAUCCUUCCUCAUCCAUCAUUCUCAUAAGUAGAGUGCAUCAUUCAAGCCAAGCAAGCAGUGGUCAAUACAAAUCCACCAUGAAGACCUUUCUCAUCCUUGCCCUCCUUGCUAUCGUGGCGACCACCACCACAACUGCAGUUAGAGUUCCAGUGCCACAAUUGCAGCCACAAAAUCCAUCUCAGCAACAACCACAAGAGCAAGUUCCAUUGGUGCAACAACAACAAUUUCUAGGGCAGCAACAACAACAAUUUCCAGGGCAACAACAACCAUUUCCACCACAAUAGCCAUAUCCGCAGCCGCAACCAUUUCUGCCACAACUACCAUAUCCGCAGCCGCAACCAUUUCCACCACAACAAUCAUAUCCACAACCACAACCACAAUAUCCGCAACCACAACAACCAAUUUCGCAGCAACAAGCACUACAACAACAACAACAACAACAACAACAACAACAAAAACAAAUCCUUCAACAAAUUCUGCAACAACAACUGAUUCCAUGCAGGGAUGUCGUCUUGCAACAACCCAAUAUAGCACAUGCAAGCUCACAAGUAUCGCAACAAAGUUACCAACUGUUGCAACAAUUAUGUUGUCAGCAACUGUGGCAGACCCCCGAGCAGUCACGGUGCCAAGCCAUCCACAAUGUCAUUCAUGCUAUUAUUUUGCAUCANNNNNNNNNNNNNNNNNNNNNNNNNNNNNNNNNNNNNNNNNNNNNNNNNNNNNNNNNNNNNNNNNNNNNNNNNNNNNNNNNNNNNNNNNNNNNNNNNNNNNNNNNNNNNNNNNNNNNNNNNNNNNNNNNNNNNNNNNNNNNNNNNNNNNNNNNNNNNNNNNNNNNNNNNNNNNNNNNNNNNNNNNNNNNNNNNNNNNNNNNNNNNNNNNNNNNNNNNNNNNNNNNNNNNNNNNNNNNNNNNNNNNNNNNNNNNNNNNNNNNNNNNNNNNNNNNNNNNNNNNNNNNNNNNNNNNNNNNNNNNNNNNNNNNNNNNNNNNNNNNNNNNNNNNNNNNNNNNNNNNNNNNNNNNNNNNNNNNNNNNNNNNNNNNNNNNNNNNNNNNNNNNNNNNNNNNNNNNNNNNNNNNNNNNNNNNNNNNNNNNNNNNNNNNNNNNNNNNNNNNNNNNNNNNNNNNNNNNNNNNNNNNNNNNNNNNNNNNNNNNNNNNNNNNNNNNNNNNNNNNNNNNNNNNNNNNNNNNNNNNNNNNNNNNNNNNNNNNNNNNNNNNNNNNNNNNNNNNNNNNNNNNNNNNNNNNNNNNNNNNNNNNNNNNNNNNNNNNNNNNNNNNNNNNNNNNNNNNNNNNNNNNNNNNNNNNNNNNNNNNNNNNNNNNNNNNNNNNNNNNNNNNNNNNNNNNNNNNNNNNNNNNNNNNNNNNNNNNNNNNNNNNNNNNNNNNNNNNNNNNNNNNNNNNNNNNNNNNNNNNNNNNNNNNNNNNNNNNNNNNNNNNNNNNNNNNNNNNNNNNNNNNNNNNNNNNNNNNNNNNNNNNNNNNNNNNNNNNNNNNNNNNNNNNNNNNNNNNNNNNNNNNNNNNNNNNNNNNNNNNNNNNNNNNNNNNNNCAUAUGAAGUAACAUUUCCUCACCAAGGCCACACAUAGGGCACACACAUAACCCCAUCACAUGCCUUUUUAGUUAUGCAUAUGAAGGUAGGAUGUUUUUAAUUACUCUGCACCAAAAUACUCUUAACUUGGAUUGUACCCUAAGCUUUCGUUGCCUUUUACAUUUUUCUUCCCCAUUAGAUGAACUAGAUAGUCCAGCUACCACACAAUACCUUGUGUUCAUCUCGGCUCUGUACAACAAUUGAACAGAAGAAAUGUCAUUUCUUUACCAUAUCCAUGACCAAAUGUUCUCUGCUACUCCCUCCGUCCCAAAAUACUGCCAUCCAUGUCGACAACAAUGAGUCAUAUAGGACCGCUAUGCCUCUGUUGAAGGAGGUGGUGGAGCGAUCCGGAGAUUAUUCUGCCAUCCAUGUUGAGUAAAACCUCACUGGCCACUUGCUCCAACCGCAUACACACCGCCAUAAACAACGGUUGGUACUCAGUUCGGUGUAGCAUACACCAUGUAGGAAGCGAGUGCUUACUCCUAGUUACUGAAUUAUGUACACCAAAUAAACCCAUUUACACGAAGUUAAUGACAAAAAAGUUGAUGCUUGCUACGCAGAUGUGUAGUACAAAUUAAGAAGUGCAAGAUAAAAAGAUGCUGGUCCUUGAUUCGUUGUUGAUCCUGAGCAUGCCAUCAUCAACUUGUAGUUAAUUAUCAUACAAAUUGGCUCUUUCAUAGAGUUGGAGGCUAGCUCCUUGGAUCAGCACGCGCUUAAACACAAAGAACACGUAUAUGUAUUCUCUCCGAAGUUCAACUCUUGAUUGGCCAGCAAAAAUGGUCCGACCGGGUAGAGGAAAGGCAUGUUUGCUAGUACGCCUGGAGGAAAUGCCUUUGAUUAGGGCAUCUCCAACGGCGACCAGUAAAUUUUCUCCCAUAUUCGUCCACGGACAAGGGAUCAGUCCGUGGAUAUGGAUAUAGGAAUCGGCCAUCCAACGUUGUCCGCAUAUAUUUCGAACACUUCUUUUAAAAAAUCGAAUGAAAUUCAUGCAAACACAGUGGAUUCCAUACAAACCGGACAAAAAUGUUUACAUUUUGGACAUAUUUUUAACUAAAAACUGUACAGCCGGCGCCGGCGACGACGAAUAUCCUCCGGCGACAUGGAUACCCUUGACUAGUCUACUGCCGGCUGCAGCGGAUCUCCAAUGUCAUCCCCAUGUCCGGCAGCUGUGAGCCCUAGGUAUAUGCUUCAACGCAAAGAGCAGCUCGCCUCCCUACCACUCAUCGGAGUGGAACAACCAACUGAUGCUUCUGCCAAUGGGAAAGGGUUCCUACGCUACAUAGGUCAGAGUUGGUUUUGGGUUGGGAACGGUGGUGGCCUGCCAGAGGGCAAGACACCGGCUGUGUAUGCUGGUGUCACCUCAAUAUGGCAUUCAUGGGACCCAAGCGACAGCUUCUCCUCGACUAUUGUGGCGAGCGCAGACGUGUUGGACACCACCUCGUCGAUGUCCAUGCAGCCCGCUUCUUUCUCUGUAGUCAGGACGCGGUGACACGCGCUUUGACAUCGGAUGACGCGCUCACAGGCACGGGAGGGGCGGUACAACAUGGCACCAUCAAUAGCAGCAAUGAUGCCCGUGCCACUGUGGUCCCUAUCAGUGUCGACCUGGAGCAACUCGCCACUCCUCGGCUCGUGACCGGCGGGGUUGACGGGCUACCAAGCCAUUGUUUAUGCGAGACAACUCUUUUUCCUGCUCAUCAGAUGCCAUGGAGAAAACUGAUCAAGGAGAAAAAUGGUGAGUGGAGGUGUGAUGCAGUUCUUGCUCGACAUCAGACAUCUAUCUAUUAUAUAAUUAAAACGAUAGAAAACGAACGGUUAAGAUUAAUCGUUCUAAAGUUAAGAAAAAACAACGGUGGAGAUUUACAGCAUAUAUGUUUUUUUUUGAAAAUUAAAGCAUAGAUGUUUGAACCACGCGCAUUACACGUACAUGUACAAGACCAAAACAGACGUACAUGUACCAGACCAAAACAGACGACCCGUCAAACAUAGUACGAUUGACUGAUCUCCGUAAAGAAUACGUCCAAUAAGGAAGGAGGCCUGAUUGAUUUCUAACUGGAACACGCACAACUAACCUGAUGUAUUUCUUAUUAAAACACACAAACAACUUGAUUUCCAGCAAGAAUACAAACGUGUAAGCUGAGAACUGCACACCUCAGCCCGGCGAACACUCCAGGCCGCCGUGGCACGUCCCGGAGAAGAUUGAACGCAUAUAACAACAACAUAUCUGUACACGGCAAUAUCGGAAGCACAUCGGCGAACACUUGAGGCCGCCGCCACACGUCGAUUGCAGGCAUAACAACAACAAAUCUAGACGCGGCAAUGUCGGAUGCACAUUGGCGAAAAGUCGAACACUCAACGCCACCAGCGCACAUCCCGGAGAUCAAAGGCGCAACAGCAACACAUCUAUACGCGGCAAUGUCGGAGGUACAUCAGUGAAUACUGCAUCGCCACACGUCCUCGAGAUCUUACGCAUGGCAACAACUAAUCUAUACGUGGCAACGUUGGAGGCACGUGGGCCGGUGAAUCGAAGGCGGGAUAGCAACACAUCCAAUGCAAAGCUCAAGAUGCCGGGACUCCCAACAGAUCAAAGUCAUGACAGCGUUAUCAUCAACUUUGUACAAUAUGUCUCCACGUACUACCUACAUAUAUGUUAUGAAUAAAAAAAUAAUUUCAAAUUUCGUUUGAAGGUAACAACGAUACGAUGUACAGAGCCAAAAGGAGAGAGUAGAGCAAUACGUGCAUCUUUUUUUUUUGUUGAGAGAAGAAUAAACUCACGUGCAUCUAAGCUACCGAUGUCUCAACCCUAGCCUAAAAAAAGUUGCCGAGUGUCUGCAUCUACGGAUUGGACGCUAGACUUUGUAUUAUUCUUUUAUGUUAGCAUACGUUGAUAGAUUGGUGCAAAUAAGUUUGAUGUCAAAAAACUAUAGCAAGCACAUAGCUCAAAACUAAAUGAUUGACCCAACAAAACAAAAUAUUACAUAAAUGUUACUGUCGCUUUAAGCUAGAGAAUCUGCACAUUUGAUCAGGGGUCAAUCGAAGGACAAACGUUAUUAGUCAGGUUGCUCACAAAAAUAAAAACAUAUUUUUCAUUAUGUGAAUAAAGAAUAAAACUAAAUUUAUAUCUGCAGUUCAAAAAUAUGAGUAAAAAUAAAUAGAAAAUUAUUUUUAUCAUAUUAGAUUCAGAAAUGGGAUUUACAUAUAAAUUAUACUGAACAUGAAAUACAAUAAAAAAAUUUAAAAAAUCAAAUUACCGUCAGAUUAAAAUGAAACUUGAUGCAAAUGAAUGGACAAAAAAAGUCACUCUUGGGUCAAUUUUCACAGCUAUUUUAUGAGUAUCUUUGCUUACAUGAAUCUCGAUGAGAGAAUCAGAUAGUUCUGAUCGGUCGUUGAAUGCUAAUUUCACAGUUGUCCGAGAAAUAGCAAUACCAAAAUGUUUAUUACUAACUAUAUAUAAAUAACAUUUUGUCAAAGACGAACGUACCAAUCAUAUUACCCACAUACGAGUAGGAAAUUCCCACCAAAGUUUGAUCAUGUUUCCUCGAGAUGCAUACGUUACCUAUAAUAUUUUUUGUAAAUUAAACUAUAUAUCAACGACAAUGUCAGAAAAAUAAACUAAGUAAUAUCUGUUUCCCUACAUUGGAAAAUAUUGGUAUAGAAUAUAAUAAUAUAUAUAAUUGAACAUGUGGGUGAAGGAAAGAAAAAAGGUUAAGCAAGAAGGUUAGGAGCAAAUUUAUUGCAAGUGCGCGAAUAACCAUUUUAGCUAUUCUAAAAAUCACAUUUCAAUUCAAAAGAACAUAUUCAUCAUCAGAAAAAAAGCUACUCUGUGCUCGAGUGAGAGAAAAUCUAGCAAUUUCCACACCAUUAAAAAAUAGGUUGUCUUAGACUGGACAGCAGCGAAAUAGUAAGGAACAUAGUUUCAUUUUGUUGGCAAUGACUUCUAGAGUAAUAUGAGUGGAAGGACAAAUGCAUAGGGAUGAGAUGGAAAGGGAUUGGGAAAGCUGGCAACCAACAGCUACAAAUCGUGAGACUCCUAGAAAAUUUCAAUGGGACACCAAGUUUAAUAAUUUUUUCUAAAUAUAACUUCUCUAUGUAAAUACUCAUGUAGCAGCUAACCAAAAUCAUCAUGAGAAAAAAACUACACUUUGCUCGAGGGAGAGAAAAUCUAGCAAUUUCCACGCCAUUAAAAAAUUAGGUUGUUUCAGACUGGACAGCAGCGAAAUAGUAAAUAACAUUGUUUCAUUUUCCUGGGAAUGACUUCUAAAGUAAUAUCACGGCAAGGAUGAAUGCAUAGGGAUGAGAAGGAAAGGAAUUGGGAAAAAGCUGGCAACCAACAACUACUAAUUGUGAGACUUUUAGAAAAUUUAAAUGGAACCCCAAGUUUAAUAAUGUUUUCUAAAUAUAACUUCUCUAUAUAAAUAAUCAUGUAGCAGCUAACCAAAAAAAGACAUUAAUUUUUUAGCAAGUCUAGCCGCGCAAAUGCGCGGGUUAUAUUGCUAGUUGUUUAAAUAGCGAUGGGACACGAGGAGCCAACCGGCGUUCUGUUUAAUGCCAGCCGGCUGACGAACGAACAUGUGGCUGCAGUAAUUAUCCUGGCACACGCGCGGGUUUAAUGGUGGAAGGCGGGCAGUCUGGAGGAAUGAGGCAGGAUGUGUGUUUAGCCGGCGUGCAGCGGGGCGGUACCCUUGGCGUGCGUGGGGCGGUACUGGAGGCAUGAAUGUGGGCAGCCGGCGCAGAGCGGGAACACGUGUGUGCGAGAGAGGAGGGGGUUUGGGUGGGCACGAGUGGUCGGAAGCAGUCGUGGGUGUUGUCCGGACGCGUGCAAAGCCCCCCUCCCCCAUGUGUUGUCUCCGGUUUGCGGGAGAAAGUACGUCUGGACUGCCCUGUGGACCGAUACAAGCCCGCAUUAGAUGGCACAACAUGUCCGGACCAUGUGGUCCGGAUGGUUGUGGACGGUUUAAUUGAGGGUCGGCGUUGGAGAUGCCUUAGAGUUUAUGAAUCCAUUGUGUUUUCCUAAUCAUAAAAAAUCACUUAUAAUAAGUUAUAUGGAAAGACACGUAUAUAAGUUAGGUUCAGACUCCAGCUUUCCUCUUAUAUAUGUUUUCUUUUCUGAUCCGACUGAUUCCAAUAGAGUGAGCCUAGCGUUGUUUUUCUGGAAACUCGAUACACGUUCUUUCAAGCAAAUCACAUCCAUUCUUUUUAACUAAUUUUUUUCUUGUUUUAAUAAUAUAAUAAAUCAUUUGUAUUUCUUAUCUCGAACAGUUGACCUGUAAUUCCUAUUGUAAUCUAAGGAUAAUGUUUGGAUUUUACUUUCAAAUAUUUGAAAUGGCCAUGAUGGAAUCACAUCCAUUUAUUUUAUUAUUAUUUGAAUUUGAUCCAAAAGAUAAAUAAUGAGUAGACGUCCUGAAAACUUUUCUGAGAACUUUGGUAAUCAAAAGACAAAAAAGGUUUUAAGAACUGAAGCAAACCACGAAUUUUACUCUCUAUUUUACUAAAGCAAGUGGCUGCUAUUUAGGUCUAGUGAAUACCAAAUUGACCAACAACCUUUUUUCCAAAUUGGAAGGAAUGCAGUUCUCAGCUCUCACCGUGGUGAUUAUACAAUCUGGAUUUUCGAGCUGUAGCUAGUCAACUUAUGUUAGUGGCAUAUGUAACAUAGUGUUGGUCACUGGGAAUGGAUGAAGCCAUGAGUGAAGGAACAGGAAAUGACAGAAGUAUGAUUUGUAGAAUUUCAAAACUCAAAAUAUCUAGUUUUAUGGAGUGAUAUGAAAUAAGCAAACCAACUGCUUAUAAAAAUGUAAAAUUAAACGACAUAUUUAGAAAUGUGAUUGUGAAGUCAUUGUCACAAAAUAUGACCCCACUAAAAAUGAACAUUCAACCUUAUUUUCAGAAGUUUGCAUACAAAUCCCAUGUAAAUUAUGGUAGUGCUCACAAACAAAUAAACUAAAAUCGUGCUUGAUCCACCAUGAAACUUACUACCUUGUCUAUAUUCUUGAAGAGCUCAAAAAAUGCUGAAGCAAUGCCACCUAGCUAGAUAUAUACUUUUGUCAUGUCCAGAGAUUUCCUGCACCAUGAACAAGAAUGCCACCGCAAUAAUAGUCGCUCUUUUGCGACAAAAAAAAUACUGACUUUGGACAGCAAUGCCUGCACAACUACUAUCUGUACGCCAUGCAUGCACCCAUGUAUGUCAGUAAUACAUAUUAUAAGCUUGUGAACAUUGGUUUCAAAGUAGUGAUACCAACAAUACAUCAUCCAGUGAUGGCCAGUCGCAGUACCUAGAUGCCACUUCGGUGCCUGGUUUCAAAGUCGCAAGUUCAUGGCAGGGAAAGCAAUCAUGUGUCUAGAGUAGAGACUUAAAUAAAGACCCAUGCCAUGUAGAUGGAUCAGAUAAUUAUGCCAAUCCUGAUUUUUCAGUGCAAAUCCAGUUCUAAAAUUUCCACUUGUUUAGUUGCUCCCAAAAAGGGCUAUACAGUUAACCAAAAUGAAUUUUGCUCCUAACACCACAGUUUGUUUCCAACGAUCAAGAGAGCGAGCUUCACCAUAGUGAAGUGUGUUUGAUUAAGUACCUGAGCCGGUGUUGUACAUGCAUAUAUGAUAUGUUCACCGCUCCUACCGGAUGCCCGCCGCCGAACUCACCAUCCGUUCUACACAAGCAGCAAAACCGAUCAGAUAAGCUAUUUCGGUUGUUACUUGUAUAGUCUGAUGGAACGAUCAGUUCCAGAAUUACGCCAUGGCGCCAUCUUUUAUAUGCAAUAUACUGUGAACUGAAUUUUCUGUCAGUGAAGUUGACAGAACAGAGUACUACAGGGUAGAGGGGUAGAGCAUGCAAGUGGUGAUUGUUGUGUGGUUUUUACGUUAGUUAUUUGUGCACCGGGCGUCUAGGUAGCGUUGGCUGGCCAUCUGCAGCUCAUAGGCGCACGAGCACAGCGGUGGCACGCCCAGCACCGCCUCCACUGCCCGCAAGGACGCCACCUAGCCGCCGCCGUAUCUGGAGAAGAAGCAACAAGCAUGUAAGAGUUUGUCCGUGGACGCUCUAUGGAUCGACCUGAUCGAUCACUCGUUUUGUGCAUGCACCACCACACAUGGCUGAACCGAGCAUCCUCCUGGCGGCGCCCAGUGAGACCGUCCUCGCAGCGGCCACGGCUCGAUGGUUCGCCCCCGUGUGCACGGUACGUGCCGCAGCCUGCAGUCAAAACAGAGCGCGUAGAAGGUGAAGGCAAGGGGAGCUGGUGUGCUGGGAGGGAGACUCCUGGAGCUAGGGAGCACGCCGACGCCAUUGCUCAAGGUGCAAGUUUGUUUCAAUCUUCAAUCCUGCUCGCUGUUGAUUCUGGUUACAGUAAAUUUUAGCUAGAUAUGGUGUAACCUAAGUGUUAUGCCUAGUCUUAAUCUAUCUAUCUAUCCAAUCUUCUAUUCGGCGAGGUGGCUGCGCCUGUGGCAGAUGUGGCCGCUGCCAUGGCCGGCGCCAGACCUGGUCGAUCUCCCUCUUCUGUAUUUGAGAAAAAAAAUCUCCCUCUUCUCUUCUGAUGAGAAGGGGAAGAGGUGGUGAGAGAUGAAGUCGACGGCUUUGGGGAGAGGAUACGGGAGGACGCCGGUAGUGAGGCGGCAUGAGGAAGACAAGGUGGUUGGCAGCGGCGACGCGUGAGGGGAGGGCAAGGGAGGUGUAGUGGUGCAUGUUGAGGAGUGGGUGUGCAGCGUGCCCAGUUCUCGAGGGAGGAAGGAGGUCGUCAAGGGAGUGAUCCAUGGGAGUUUCUUUUCCUUCUGAGCGAGCCUAGUUGGGCUCUCUGCAGCGUCUAGGCCCAAUGCACCACAUGUCUUCAAAUUGGCCACCAGUAGCAGCCCAUAGAACAGACAGGGCCAGUUUACAAAUUUUAAAACAUAAGUUUUUUAGCGCCCAUGAAAAACAGAACACAUAUCUUUCCAAACAUAAUGAACUGUAGGUACCACCAAAAAAACCAUAAUGAACUAUAGGUUGUUACAAGAACUCAUGCCAUCCCACAGCCGCCCUCCCACCCUGCCAACAUUGUUGCAACUGCACUCGCAAGCGUUACCAUAGAUGAUCAUUUGCAUGAUUUCGCGUAAAACAAAAUAAGAUCUACAAACGAAUAGAAGCUACACAUACCUUGGCAUGCACACACAUUGGAAGCCAUACCAAGGUGAUAAGUGUUAAUAACUUGUACGACAUAUACAACAGUUAAGAUAAGUGAAAGCAAUUUGAUGAGUCAUGGUCUAUCAAAGCAAGCUUUAUUACUACUCUAAUCUAUCUUAACAGGUCACACAUGAUUACAAUCCUUUUUGUGUGCAAGUCAAGCUUAUCUAGUUUACACGUAACAACUUGUAGAACAUUACACAAUUGAUGUUUGCUAAUAACUUCUAGAAAGCUAAAACACUUGACAUGUAAAAAGAAUUUGAUGAGUCAUGACCUAGUAAAUCAAGUUACAUUACUAGUCUCAUCUAUCUUAACAGGUCACACAAGAUUACAAACUAAGUUCUGCGCAAGCAAUGCUUAUCUAGUUUACACAUAACAACUUGCAAAACAUUACAAAUUUAGUUUCAAAAAAUUAGGCAAUCUAGAUUAGUGUUUGAGUUGUAAAUUGAAUAAGAUGAGUCAUGUGUGUUAUCACAACUUUUUGGUGGUGGAAUGAUAGUGCCACCAAACGCAACAUACCAAAUUAUGAUUUUAGGAAGCAUCCAAGCACUUUCCAGACAAGCAAAUGCCAAUUGUGAAGGAGAUGAUGCCAUGGCAGCUAUAAAUAGGCCUGUAGCAUGAUGAUCAUCCUUCCUCAUCCAUCAUUCUCAUAAGUAGAGUGCAUCAUUCAAGCCAAGCAAGGAGUGGUCAAUACAAAUCCACCAUGAAGACCUUUCUCAUCCUUGCCCUCCUUGCUAUCGUGGCGACCACCACCACAACUGCAGUUAGAGUUCCAGUGCCACAAUUGCAGCCACAAAAUCCAUCUCAGCAACAACCACAAGAGCAAGUUCCAUUGGUGCAACAACAACAAUUUCUAGGGCAGCAACAACAACAAUUUCCAGGGCAACAACAACCAUUUCCACCACAACAGCCAUAUCCGCAGCCGCAACCAUUUCUGCCACAACUACCAUAUCCGCAGCCGCAACCAUUUCCACCACAACAAUCAUAUCCACAACCACAACCACAAUAUCCGCAACCACAACAACCAAUUUCGCAGCAACAAGCACAACUACUACAACAACAACAACAACAACAACAACAACAACAACAACAACAACAAAUCCUUCAACAAAUUCUGCAACAACAACUGAUUCCAUGCAGGGAUGUCGUCUUGCAACAACCCAAUAUAGCACAUGCAAGCUCACAAGUAUCGCAACAAAGUUACCAACUGUUGCAACAAUUAUGUUGUCAGCAACUGUGGCAGACCCCCGAGCAGUCACGGUGCCAAGCCAUCCACAAUGUCAUUCAUGCUAUUAUUUUGCAUCAUCGUCAUCAACAACAACAACAACAACAACAACAACAACAACAACAACCGUCGAGCCAGGUCUCCUACCAGCAGCCUCAGCAACAAUAUCCAUCAGGCCAGGGCUUCUUCCAGCCAUCUCAGCAAAACCCACAGGCCCAGGGCUUUGUCCAACCUCAGCAACUGCCGCAGUUCGAGGAAAUAAGGAACCUAGCGCUGCAGACGCUACCAGCAAUGUGCAAUGUCUACAUCCCUCCAUAUUGCUCGACCACCAUUGCGCCAUUUGGCAUCAUGAGUACUAACUGAGAAGAGAAGAACUCUAUUACUAGAUAUAUGAAACACCGUUUUCUUAAAACAUGGUUUGGUCGUUGUAGCGGUGAAAAAUAAAGUGACAUGCACUAUCAUGUAAGAACCCGAACUAGACUAUUUCAAACUUGGAAAUAAAAGACAAACACAGGUCUUGUCUGCAUAUGAUUGUUUGUUUGAGUUCCAUUCAUGUGCCCGUUCACAAGUUCACCCCUAAUUAUAUAUAUUAAGCAUUAGUUAGAUGUUUAUGUGCAUUAAUCUAAAGAUAACAAAAUGAAUCUGAAACUUGAAUUUAAUUAAAGUAUUUUCUUGGACUUUCAAAUUGAGCAUUGAUAGUGAGGACUAUCCACAUCCUUGGCUUGCCCUUGAUCAAUUAUUUCCAAAGAAGCAUUCAAUUCAUCAGUCACUUACAUUGAUUUUUGUGGCUUGUACUUCUCCUCAACAUGAGUAUCUUCAUUGCAGCUACUCCAAAUCUGCCACAUAACUGAAGCAUUAAUAGUGCUCUUCCUUGCAUCAAGGAAAUAUGGAUCGAAGAUAUCUCUUGACCAUGUUUUCGGGUGCAACCUUGGGAGUUUUAUGUCAAAAUAUUCUCAAGAAGAAUCCAAGAAUAAACUUGCAUGCUCACGUGUGAAAAGGGCAUAUGAAGUAACAUUUCCUCACCAAGGCCACACAUAGGGCACACACAUAACCCCAUCACAUGCCUUUUUAGUUAUGCAUAUGAAGGUAGGAUGUUUUUAAUUACUCUGCACCAAAAUACUCUUAACUUGGAUUGUACCCUAAGCUUUCGUUGCCUUUUACAUUUUUCUUCCCCAUUAGAUGAACUAGAUAGUCCAGCUACCACACGAUACCUUGUGUUCAUCUCGGCUCUGUACAACAAUUGAACAGAAGAAAUGUCAUUUCUUUACCAUACCCAUGACCAAAUGUUCUCUGCUACUCCCUCCGUCCCAAAAUACUGCCAUCCAUGUCGACAACAAUGAGUCAUAUAGGACCGCUAUGCCUCUGUUGAAGGAGGUGGUGGAGCGAUCCGGAGAUUAUUCUGCCAUCCAUGUUGAGUAAAACCUCACUGGCCACUUGCUCCAACCGCAUACACACCGCCAUAAACAACGGUUGGUACUCAGUUCGGUGUAGCAUACACCAUGUAGGAAGCGAGUGCUUACUCCUAGCUACUGAAUUAUGUACACCAAAUAAACCCAUUUACACGAAGUUAAUGACAAAAAAGUUGAUGCUUGCUACGCAGAUGUGUAGUACAAAUUAAGAAGUGCAAGAUAAAAAGAUGCUGGUCCUUGAUUCGUUGUUGAUCCUGAGCAUGCCAUCAUCAACUUGUAGUUAAUUAUCAUACAAAUUGGCUCUUUCAUAGAGUUGGAGGCUAGCUCCUUGGAUCAGCACGCGCUUAAACACAAAGAACACGUAUAUGUAUUCUCUCCGAAGUUCAACUCUUGAUUGGCCAGCAAAAAUGGUCCGACCGGGUAGAGGAAAGGCAUGUUUGCUAGUACGCCUGGAGGAAAUGCCUUUGAUUAGGGCAUCUCCAACGGCGACCAGUAAAUUUUCUCCCAUAUUUGUCCACGGACAAGGGAUCAGUCCGUGGAUAUGGAUAUAGAAAUCGGCCAUCCAACGUUGUCCGCAUAUAUUUCGAACACUUCUUUUAAAAAAUCGAAUGAAAUUCAUGCAAACACAGUGGAUUCCAUACAAACCGGACAAAAACGUUUACAUUUUGGACAUAUUUUUAACUAAAAACUCUACAGCCGGCACCGGCGACGACGAAUAUCCUCCGGCGACAUGGAUACCCUUGACUAGUCUACUGCCGGCUGCAGCGGAUCUCCAAUGUCAUCCCCAUGUCCGGCAGCUGUGAGCCCUAGGUAUAUGCUUCAACGCAAAGAGCAGCUCGCCUCCCUACCACUCAUCGGAGUGGAACAACCAACUGAUGCUUCUGCCAAUGGGAAAGGGUUCCUACGCUACAUAGGUCAGAGUUGGUUUUGGGUUGGGAACGGUGGUGGCCUGCCAGAGGGCAAGACACCGGCUGUGUACGCUGGUGUCACCUCAAUAUGGCAUUCAUGGGACCCAAGCGACAGCUUCUCCUCGACUAUUGUGGCGAGCACAGACGUGUUGGACACCACCUCGUCGAUGUCCAUGCAGCCCGCUUCUUUCUCUGUAGUCAGGACGCGGUGACACGCGCUUUGACAUAGGAUGACGCGCUCACAGGCACGGGAGGGGCGGUACAACAUGGCACCAUCAAUGGCAGCCAUGAUGCCCGUGCCACUGUGGUCCCUCUCAGUGUCGACCUGGAGCAACUCGCCACUCCUCGGCUCGUGACCGGCGGGGUUGACGGGCCACCUAGCUAUUGUUUAUGCGAGACAACUCUUUUUCCUGCUCAUCAGAUGCCAAUAAGGAAGGAGGCCUGAUUGAUUUCUAACUGGAACACGCACAACUAACCUGAUGCCAACUAAUCAGAUGCCAAUAAGGAAGGAGGCCUCAACUUAGCUAUAGGAGGUGAAGGCAAGGGGAGCUGGUGUGCUGGGAGGGAGACUCCUGGAGCUAGGGAGCACGCCGACGCCAUUGCUCAAGGUGCAAGUUUGUUUCAAUCUUCAAUCCUGCUCGCUGUUGAUUCUGGUUACAGUAAAUUUUAGCUAGAUAUGGUGUAACCUAAGUGUUAUGCCUAGUCUUAAUCUAUCUAUCUAUCCAAUCUUCUAUUCGGCGAGGUGGCUGCGCCUGUGGCAGAUGUGGCCGCUGCCAUGGCCGGCGCUAGACCUAGUCGAUCUCCCUCUUCUGUAUUUGAGAAAAAAAAAUCUCCCUCUUCUCUUCUGAUGAGAAGGGGAAGAGAUGGUGAGAGAUGAAGUCGACGGCUUUGGGGAGAGGAUACGGGAGGACGCCGGUAGUGAGGCGGCAUGAGGAAGACAAGGUGGUUGGCAGCGGCAAUGCGUGAGGGGAGGGCAAGGGAGGUGUAGUGGUGCAUGUUGAGGAGUGGGUGUGCAGCGUGCCCAGUUCUCGAGGGAGUAAAGAGGUCGUCAAGGGAGUGAUCCAUGGGAGUUUUUUUUCCUUCUGAGCGAGCCUAGUUGGGCUCUCUGCGGCGUCUAGGCCCAAUGCACCACAUGUCUUCAAAUUGGCCACCAGUAGCAGCCCAUAGAACAGACAGGGCCAGUUUACAAAUUUUAAAACAUAAGUUUUUUAGCGCCCAUGAAAAACAGAACACAUAUCUUUCCAAACAUAAUGAACUAUAGGUACCACCAAAAAAACCAUAAUGAACUUUAGGUUGUUACAAGAACUCAUGCCUUCCAACAGCCUCCCUCCAACCCUGCCAACAUUGUAGCAGCUGCACUCGCAAGCGUUACCAUAGGUGAUCAUUUGCAUGAUUUCGCGUAAAACAAAAUAAGAUCUACAAACGAAUAGAAGCUACACAUACCUUGGCAUGCACACACAUUGCAAGCCAUACUAAGGUGAUAAGUGUUAAUAACUUGUACAACAUAUACAACACUUAAGAUAAGUAAAAGCAAUUUGAUGAGUCAUGGUCUAUCAAAGCAAGAUGCAUUACUACUCUAAUCUAUCUUAACAGGUCACACAUGAUUACAAUCCUUGUUGUGUGCAAGUCAAGCUUAUCUAGUUUACACGUAACAACUUGUAGAACAUUACACAAUUGAUGUUUGCUAAUAACUUCUAGAAAGCUACAACACUUGACAUGUAAAAAGAAUUUGAUGAGUCAUGACCUACUAAAGCAAGUUACAUUACUAGUCUCAUCUAUCUUAACAGGUCACACAAGAUUACAAACUAAGUUCUGCGCAAGCAAUGCUUAUCUAGUUUACACAUAACAACUUGCAAAACAUUACAAACUUAGUUUCAAAAAAUUAGGCAAUCUAGAUUAGUGUUUGAGUUGUAAAGUGAAUAAGAUGAGUCAUGUGUGUUAUCACAACUUUUUGGUAGUGGAAUGAUAGUGCCACCAAACACAACAUACCAAAUUAUGAUUUUAGGAAGCAUCCAAGCACUUUCCAGACAAGAAAAUGCUAAUUGUGAAGGAGAUGAUGCCAUGUCAGCUAUAAAUAGGCCUGUAGCAUGAUGAUCAUCCUUCCCCAUCCAUCAUUCCCAUAAGUAGAGUGCAUCGUUCAAGCCAAGCAAGCAGUGGUCAAUACAAAUCCACCAUGAAGACCUUUCUCAUCCUUGCCCUCCUUGCUAUCGUGGCGAUUGAGGGAGUCCUGGAUAAGGGGUAUCUGGACAGCCGGACUAUAUUCAUCGUCCGGACUAUAGAAGCGUCAAGACACAAGACUCAAGACUUCGGCUCGUGUCCGGAUGGGACUCUCCUUUGCGUGGAAAACAAGCUUGGCGACCCGGAUAUUAUGUUUCCUUCCUUGUAACCGAGUCCAUGUAAACCCUAGCUCUCCGGUGUCUAUAUAAACCGGAGAGCAUGGUCCUUACAAGGCCGACCACAAUUACAAUCAUACCAUCAUAGGCUAGCUCUUAGGGUUUAGCCUCUACAAUCUCGUGGUAGAUCUACUCUCGUAUUCCACAUAUCUUCAAUAUCAAUCAAGCAGGAAGUAAGGUUUUACCUCCAUCGAGAGGGCCCGAACCUGGGUAAACAUUGUGUCCCUUGCUUCCUGUUACCAUCAUCCUAAGACGCACAGAUUGGGACCCCCUACCCGAGAUCCGCCGGUUUUGACACCGACGUUGGUGCUUCCAUUGAGAGUUCCUCUGUGUCAUCGCUUCGAGGCUUGAUGGCGUCUUCAAUCGUCAACAACACGGUCCAGGGUGAGACUUUUCUCCCCGGACAGAUCUUUAUGUUCGGCGGCUUCGCACUGCGGGCCAAUUCAUUUGGCCAGUUGGAGCAGAUCGACAGCCUCGCCCCUGGCCACCAGAUCAGGUUUGGAAACUUGAACUACACGACAGAUAUCCGCGGAUACUUGAUCUUCGACGGAUUCGGGCCUGCGCCAGGAGUGCCGGAUAGCCACGACGAGCACGGCCUAGACCUGCUGUCGGAUAGUGCCCGGGACAUUAUCCCCGAAGCAGCCUUGGAUCUAAAUUCAGGACAGGUUGCGGCGCCUAUGGACGGAGGGCUGGACCCCGCUCCGCAGGCCGCACGCUUAUCGGCGGUGGAGCCGAACACUGGCCCCCCCUGUAACCCCGGACCCCCGGACUCAUAUCCGGAUGUUGGUCCUGGUCCGCUCACUCUCGAGCCAGCCGAGCCAGGUUGGGCUCCGGUAAUGGAGUUUACCGCUGCGGACAUCUUUCAGCACUCGCCCUUUGGCGACAUGCUGAGCUCAUUGAAGUCUCUCUCUUGGUCAGGAGACUCUGGGGCGAACUAUGUCCGACCCGAGUGGGAAGCAUGCGAUGAAGGAAUUCGGCGCCCACCCACCACCCACUUCAUUGCCACGAUCAAAGAAUUAGCCGACGUGCUCAACUCCGGAGACAUCGAUGGUAUGGACGACGAUGCAGGAGAGGCUCCAGAACACCUGGAGCGCGGGACUACUACCUUGUCACACGACAUAUACAUGGUAGAUACGCCCAAUAAGGACGGCAACCCGAACGAUAAAACACCCGGGCAAAAGCCAAAGAGGCGGUGCAGACGCCGCUCAAAGUCUAGCAAUGGCAAAAAUAGAGACAAGAGCGCAAGAAGGGUUGAUAUACCCGCAAACUCUGAAAGCAAUAAUGACCACAUGGACCCAACGAUGGAGCAGGACGAGCCAGGUCACACCAAAUAAAGUUCGGAGAAAAUACCCGAUCACAACGAUCCGGAGGGACGAGCUCAUGAUGCCACCCCAGAACAGGAAGACAAUCUGGACAACGAUGCAUUCAUCAUCCCGGACGAACAAGUGGAACGAGACAACCUCCACAGAAAGCUUAUGGCCACCGCAAGAAGUCUAGAAAAGCAGAAGCAACGGCUCAAGGCUGCACGGGAAAAGCUAAGUCGCAGAUGGAACAGGGUGCUAGACACCGAAGAAAGAUAUGGCGAUGACCGUCAUACGAAAAGCUAUCCGAAGCGCAAGCUGCUGCCAGAAUUCGACGAUGCGGCCGUUCCGCCAAAAGAAAAUUCGACCAAGAAACCAGACGUACCGCCUCACAACCAUAAUAGAGCGGCCGUGGACACUGCGCACGAUCCACGCGGGCAUCCGAAUAAAAAGACCGGUGCAGCCAGGUCCAUAUAUGGAUCUAGAAGACACACCCCAACGCAGAACUAUGGUCACCCAAACAUUCAUAAAAGCCAGAUACCAGUUCGGAAUCAACCCCGGACACAACAACAGCCAACUACAUGCCACAACGCGUCCAGAUACAGAGGGGCUGCUUACCACCUGUGCUUCACCGAAGAAGUACUGGACCAUGAAUUCCCACAAGGAUUUAAACCUGUGAACAUAGAAGCAUACGCCGGCACGACAUACCCAGGGGUCUGGAUCGAGGAUUUUAUCCUACAUAUUCACAUGUCUCAUGGGGAUGACCUCCACGCCAUCAAAUACCUUCCCCUCAACUUGAAGGGACCAGCUAGACACUGGUUGGAAAGCCUCCCCGAAAACUCAAUUGGGAGUUGGGAGGUGAAAGGAUCGAUAUAGUUGGGGGGGGGGGUGAAUAGGAAACUAACAAUUUUUAAGCUUUUCUUUACCAAUUUAAACUUUGCAUCAAAAUAGGCUGUCUAGAUAUGCAACUAUGUGAGCAACCUAUAUGAUGGAAUAACAACUAGCACAUAAGCAAGCAAUGGAUACAACACAAGUAAGCUUGCAAAAGUAAAGGCAUGAAAUAACCAAGAGUGGAGCCGGUGGAGACGAGGAUGUGUUACCGUAGUUCCUUCCUUUUAAGGGGAGGUACGUCUCCAUUAGAGCGGUGAGGAGGCACAAUGCUCCCCAAGAAGCCACUAGGGCCACCGUAAUCUCCUCAUGCCCUCACACAAUGCGAGAUGCCGUGAUUCCACUAUUGGUGCCCUUGAAGGCGGCGACCGAACCUUUACAAACAAGGUUGGGGCAAUCUCCACAACUUAAUUGGAGGCUCCCAACGACAGCAUGAAGCUUCACCACAAUGGACUAUGGCUCCGAGGUGACCUCAACCGUCUAGGGUGCUCCAACACCCAAGAGUAACAAGAUCCGCUAGGGAUUAGUGGGGGGAAUCGAAUAUCUCUUGGUGGAAGUGUAGAUCGGGGCCUUGUCACCCAAUCCCGAGCAAAUCAACAAGUUUGAUUGGCUAGGGAGAGAGAUCGGCCGAAAAUGGAGCUUGGAGCAACAAUGGAGCUUAGGGAUGGAAGAGGUGGUCAACUAGAGGUAGGAGACACACCUUUUAUAGUGGAGGACAACAUCCAACCGUUAUCCACUUAGACCAGCCUGCGACAUGUGGUACUACUGCUCCAGGAGCGCGGUAUUAUCGCAAGGCCAUGCGGUACUACCGUGGGAGACCACGGUACUACCGUGGCAGCUACAGAGAUUAUAAGACAAGCAGUACUACCGCGAGCGCGGUACUACCGCUCCCACCUGCGGUACUACCGCGAGGCAGGUAAGUCCUAGUCUGGAAACGGCACGGAUGAAUAAAAAUACAUCCGUGCCUACUUCCGUGGUCAAAGAGACGAUGCAAACAUCCGUCACGGUACUACCGUGCACAAGGCGCGGUACUACCGUGUGUGCGCAGAUGUAAAAAAUUACAUCCGCCCCUACUACCGUGAAGCAACGGCACUAGGCCAGGGAACCACGGUACUACAGCUCGGGGGGAGCGGUACUACCGUGGGCACCCACGGUACUACCGCCCUCAACGUGUGGUACUACCGUGUGGGCGCGGAUGUAAAAAUUUACAUCCGCGCCUACUACCGCGAGGCAGCGAUACUUGGCCAGGGAGCGACGGUACUACGACUCCGAAUGAGCGGUACUACCGUGGGCUCCCGUGAUACUACCGCACAUGGGCACGGUACUACCGCAAGUGCUUGCGGUACUACCGCUCCAGGGAGCAGUACUACCGCAAGCUCAGCAACAGUAGUCCAGACACUCACAUAGAGGAUAGAUGGGGAAUGCUCCAAAGUGCAAGGGAAAGGAGGAGACAAGGAAGGAAACGUGUACGUGAUGAUUCCACCCGAACCUUUCUGACGUGGACCCCCUCUUAAUAGUACGGCUCUCCAACGACUCAAAUCCACCAAAAAGAAACAUAGAAAUACGCCGUCUUCAAUAGUCUUCGAGGGGCACCGAACCGUCUUGUGCCUAGCGAUGAAGCAACUGAGAAACUCAAGGCACACGAUUAGUCCGCUAAAGCAUUGUCAUCAAUCACCAAAACACUUAGGGAUAAAAAUGCCCUUACAAUAUCCCCCUUUUUGGUGGAUGACAAUACGGGAUUUUCACAAGGGAAAAAAUAAUGAGCAUAGGCAAACCCCUCCUCUCUAAAAUGUAGACGGGCUCCCCCUAGAUGUGUGCAAUCUAGAUGGAUGCUUUGGACUGCACAACACACUAGCUAGGAUUAACACUCCCCCUAUAUUUUAGAGACAAGGCAUGUAAGACUAACAAUCUAAGUAAGUGCAUAAACAAAGGUAGCACAAUAUAACACUAGCUCACUAAGAUAGGUAGAGUGCAUAUGUCUUACACCAUAUGAGGGACAAACUAAACCAAAUCAACCGAAACAACCGAAACGAGGUUCAAAUGAGACACGCAAACACACGAAACACGACACACGACUCACAAAUCCCUACACUCUCUCCUCCUUUGGCAUCGAGACGCCAAAAAGGCAGAGAGGACACCUACACACAAGUGGUGGCUCAAGCAGAGAAAUCAUCCCAAUGAUCCUCUUCAGACCCGGCAGCAAGAAUGGUCUCCUCGACGUCCUCCUUAGAAUCAGUCCACUUGUAGCCUUGUUUCUCCAUCCACUCAACCUCUGGAGUAAUGUGAUCCUCAGACCCACCAGACACGUCCUCUCCAUACAGCUUCAGAAUCUUCUUGUCAUGGCGACGACUCUCCUUGGAUGCCACGUGAGUCCUGUACUGCCCCUUAGCUUGUAUGCAUAAAAGAGUCUUCAUCUUGUCCUUCAGCUUCUUGGCCCACAAGGGCAUAGAGGAACUAUGGGAAGACCCAGCAGCACGGUUAGCAGCAACAUCCUCUGCUUCAGCCUCAUCCUCAUCAACAACCCUCUUAGCAGUAGUCGCCUCAGCACGAGUAGUAGUGUUGGCCCAUUUGGACUUGACACGGAGACUGAUGGGAUCAUGCCGAAUCCAGUCAGGAGCAAGGAACUCAUCACCAGGGUACUGCUUCGCCCAAGUCUUGGAGAUCAACAGAAACAUGUAUGGUCCAUAGAUAGGCACCUUGCUGUUGAACACCGCAAACCGAAGCUCACACCACAUGAUGUGUGUGACAUCAAGUGGCUGAGUCUGAGAUACGCGAGCCUCCUCGCAGAGGAGCAUCAUAUCCACCAUAUAGGCAUGGACCUUGUCCUUGUCACCAAUGCGAGGGAACAGAGAGUUGCGGAAGAUGCGAUACAUGAUAUCCAGAAAAGAGUUGAGCAUCCACGUUGACUUGCUAUUGGCAAGCACCUUCUCAACAUAGAACGGCUGAAGCUUGUCCUUGUUCGCAGACUCAGAAUUGGCAUGGGGGCGAACACCCACUGGUGAGUUGAGCCCGUCAUCAGGAACCUGGAGCAGAUCCAUGAACUCCUUCCAGGUAGCAGUCAACUGACGACCAUUGGUCGUCCAGGUCAUCCUCCGCUCCUCCCCAGGGUGAAAGAACACUGAGGCAAAGAACUGACAAAUAAGCUCAGGGUCAUAGUCAAGAUGGAAAGAGAUCACAUGCUCAAUAUCAAACUGCUCCACCAAAUCCAGAGCUUCUCCAAAGUACUCACGAUACAUAUCCUUCCUCAGGUGAUGCAUGUCUAUCCACCUGACAUCCACAUAGGUAUUUUGCUUGUUCUUGAUGACAUCCAGAUAGGUGAGAGUCUGCUGCUUGUUCGAAAACAACUCACAGCCUCUAACGGUAGCACGAGGAAUCACAUACGGGUUGAGCUGCCUGAGACGGAUGUACUCAGAUUGGGGUAUCUCGUCCAUGCCCUUAGCGGGUUCCUUGUGCUUGCUAGCGGUGGCCUUGACAUGGCGCUUGGGGGCAGAGGAGGAGCCCUCUGGUGCAUCACUUGGAUUGCACAGACGCUUGGAGCCAGUGUCACGACUGGGAUUGGAACGACGAGAGCCACCACCUGAGACACAAAAUGCAAAACACCCACGACAGGCAAAAAGGAUCAAUGCAAAGACCACGGCAAAGCACAAGAACCACAUAGGAAGUAUACGUGAAAGUUUCCAUGAGAUAGAUGGGAUCCACGGUAGUACUGCCGGAUGCGGUGGUACUAAAAUUUUAGUACCGCUCCAAGUCGCAGUAGUACCGGGGUGGGAGCGGUAGUAAAAUUUUAGUGUCGUAGCGUGCACGGUAGUACCGCGCCUGACGGGCGGUAGUACCAGACAAGCGGUAGUACCGCAUAGGUGGCGCGGUAGUACUGCACCGCGUCAGAUCCAAACCAAAGUUUGAAUCUGAGAAGAACCGCGAAACCACGGCGGUACUACGGUUGAUCAAAUCUAGCACAGGACAAAAAGACAAGUAUAAUCCCUACACGAUACUACUCUCCUACAGCCUACUCUUGCAUAGAUUUAGCCUAAAAUCUCAAGAACACACAAGUCUUCCCCACAAACCUAGAGGCAAAGAAAACAACAAAAGCGAGAGGGAGUUGGGAAAAGACCCUUGCCCAUGGCAAGAGCACGUGGUGGGGAAUGAUCCCACCGAACGGAAUCGCAGGAGAGCAGCCGGAGGCGGAGAUCCGGCGAAGGACCCCGGCCCCGUUCUUGAGCGAGGGAGAGAGAGACGAAGUGGGAAACUGAUGAAUGGGUAUGGGGGAGUUGGAACUCCCCCUCCCCAUCCUUAUCCCCACGCGUCAAAGAUGUCGCGGUAGUACCGCACAUCAUCACGGUAGUACCGCUUGGGUGGAACUACCGCACCGAAGCAGUAGUACCGCUCUCCCAGGCGGUAGUAAAAAAUUACUGCCGCGUGGGGCGGUAGUACCGAGAUCUCCACACGCGUAGUACCGUAGCAUGCUGCGGUAGUACCGUGAGCUCAAGAAAAAGCAGGUUUCAACACAAAAGAGGUCUUUGCAAGGAAACUUUUAGCACAAGAGACACCACAAGAACACGCACAACCCAAAGGCAGAAAGACAACAAGAAGCAACCACGCAACACACCCUCUCAAAAAGCGAGGGCGGUGGCCGGAGCCACCUAUGUUUGAGUCAGUUUGUAUGGCACCGCAAAGAAUUAUCCUUGGGCCCAUGACCGAAACUCAUCUUUGAAGCACAAGUUCCAUAAAAAAUGGUUAAUGUGACAGAGUUGAUCGAUUUAUGCAUAAUGGGGGAGGGAGGGUUCAUUGAGAGAACGGUACUCCCCCUAUGUCCAUGCCCACACCUAAACUAGACAACAAGUUGAGUGAGGUGGGGUGUGCACAGGCUCAAGUCACAUUGCUCGAACCAAUGAUAUUUAGCUCAUGCCUUAACUCGCGAAAUCGUGCUUCAUCAAAGGGCUUCGUGAAAAUAUCUGCAAGGUUAUCAUGAGUGUUGACAUACUUGAGCUUGAUCUCCCCUCGCCUACUGUGAUCCCGGAUGAAGUGAUACCGAAUCUCAAUAUGCUUCGUCUUGAAAUGUUGCACCGGGUUGAGAGAAAUCUUGAUGGCACUUUCAUUGUCACACCAAAGAGGCACUUUGUCACAAAUGACACCAUAUUCCUUUAAAGUUUGCCUCAUCCAUAAGAGUUGUGCACAACAACUACCGGCCGCCACAUAUUCCGCUUCGGUGGACGAGAGAGACAAACAACUUUGCUUCUUGGAAGACCAACUCACCAAAGAGCAACCAAGAAAUUGGCACCCUCCAGAAGUGGACUUCCUAUCCACCUUGUCUCCCGCCCAAUCGGAAUCCGUAAAUCAUUCAAGCUUGAAGUUAGCUCCUCUUGGGUACCAUAGGCCAAAGUUUGGGGUAUGAGCCAAAUAUCGAAAGAUUCGCUUGACCGCCACAAAGUGGCUUUCCUUUGGUGCGGCUUGAAACGGUGCACACAUUCCCACACUCAACAUGAUAUCUGGUGAUGCACAAAGGUAAAGCAAGGAUCCAAUCAUAGAGUGAUAUACCUUUUGAUUCACCGCUUUACCAUUGGGAUCAAUGUCAAGUUGGCACUUGGUGAGCAUUGGAGUAGAGGCCGGAUUGACAUCACUUAGCUUGAAUCUCUUAAGCAUGUCUUGAGUGUAUUUGGCUUGGUUGAUGAAGGUACCUUCUCUUUUUUGUUUGAUAUCAAAACCAAGGAAGAACUUUAACUCUCCCAUCGAAGACAUCUUGAACUCAGAGGUCAUGAGAGCGGCAAAUUCUUCAUUGAAAGCAUUGUUAGGGGAACCAAAGAUAAUGUCAUCAACAUAUAGUUGGCACACAAACAACUCCCCUUUUACCUUCUUAGUAAAAAUAGUGGGACCGAUUUGCCCAACUUCAAAUCCACGAUCUUGUAACAACUCGGUAAGGUGGUCAUACCACGCACAUGGGGCUUGUUUAAGGCCAUAGAGUGCCUUAUCGAGUUGAUACACAUGAUCCGGGAAGUAAGGAUCCUCGAACCCGGGGGGUUGCUUGACAUAAACCAACUCAUUAAUAGGACCAUUAAGAAAAGCACUUUUCACAUCCAUUUGUUGUAACUUAAAGUUGUGAUGGGAAUCAUAAGCAAUCAACAAACAAAUGGAUUCAAGGCGAGCAACAGGAGCAAAGGUUUCACCGUAGUCGAUACCGUCGACUUGGGAGUAGCCUUGUGCUACCAAUCUUGCCUUGUUGCGAAUGAUGUUCCCAUGAGCGUCUUGCUUGUUCUUGAAAAUCCACUUGGUUCCAAUGACAUUAUGGUUCCCCGACGGCCGUGGCACCAAUCUCCACACCUUGUUGUACUCGAAGUUGUUAAGUUCUUCAUGCAUGGCAUUGAGCCAAUCUGAAUCUUCGAGCGUCUCAUAGACCUUUUGGGGUUCAACACAAGAGACAAACGCGUGAUGUUCACAAUAGUUUGCUAAUUGUCUACGAGUGCUUACCCCCUUUCUUAGGCUUCCAACCACAUUCUCCAUAAGAUGGCCUUUGGUGGUGAGCUUGGAAGCAAUCUUUGCGGCACAACGCUCUAGUUCCUCCUCGGAUGUGGAGGAAGGAGGAUCAACUUGAUUAUCUUGAGCGCCGUCUUGAGCUUGUUCGAGAUCUUGAUCUUGCUCUUGAUCUUGAACUUGCUCAAGGGGGAAAACUUGACCUUGGGCAUCAUUUGGUGGAUCACCACCAUCUUGAGUUUGAUCUUGCCCUUGGUCUUGUUUAUGAGGUUGCGAGCCUUCACUUUGUUGUUCGGAAGCAUGUGGGUCUUGGGGAGGUGAUGGCUCCACUUGAGUGGAGCAUUGUCCUUCUCCUUCGGCCACAAGGGGUUCCUCAAUGGGUAGAAUAUGACCAAUACCCAUUCUUCUUAUGGCUUGGGGAGGAAUUUCAUCACCUACAUCACAAGUACCACUUUGCUCCACUUGGGAGCCGUUAUUUUCGUCAAACUCCACGUUACACGUCGCCUCAAUGAGUCCGGUGGACUUGUUGAGAACACGGUAAGCAUGAGAGUUUGUAGCAUAACCAACAAAUAUGCCCUCAUAAGCUCUAGCCUCAAAUUUAUACAAACGGACACCCUUUUUGAGAAUGAAACACUUACACCCGAACACCCGGAAGUACUUGAGAUUGGGCUUGUUACCGGCGAGGAUUUCAUAAGGAGUCUUGUUCAAGCCUUUGCGGAGAUAGAGCCGAUUUGAUGCAUGACACGCGGUGUUGAUGGCUUCGGCCCAAAAGUUGUAUGGAGACUUGAACUCCGCCAUCAUGGUCCUUGCCGCAUCCAUCAACUUCCGGUUCUUCCUCUCCGCAACACCAUUUUGUUGAGGGGUGUAUGGAGCUGAAUAUUGAUGCUUGAUCCCCUCAUCACUAAGGAGCUCGUCCAAGGUGUAGUUCUUGAACUCGGUGCCGUUGUCACUUCUUAUUGUCAAGAUCUUUGCAUCAUGUUGUCAUUGAGCUUCAUUUGCAAAGUCGAUGACGGUUUGUUGGGUUUCACUCUUCCUCUUGAAGAAAUAUACCCAAGUAUAUCUUGAAUAAUCAUCCACAAUCACCAAGCAAUACUUUAUUCCCCCAAGACUAUCAAAGGAUGGAGGCACAAAGAGGUCCAUGUGAAGGAGCUCCAAGGGUCUCUUCGAGUAGAUGAUAGUCGUGGGAGGGUGAGCCGUCUCAUGAAGCUUUCCUUCGAUACAAGCACUGCAAGCAUGAUCUUUGGCAAAACUAACAUUUUUUAGUCCACGGACAUGGUCCCCCUUGAGAAGACUUUGCAAAGAUCUCAUAUUGACGUGGGCUAAACGGAAAUGCCAAAGCCAUCCCACAUCAACUUUAGCCAUUAGGCAUGUCGCGGUCUUAGUGGGUCGCUCCGAAAAGUUAAUCACAUAGAGACCGUUCUCGACAUGCCCAACAAAGGCUACUUUAAGAGUCUUGCUCCACAAUAGGGCCACGGUAUCAACAUCAAAGAAGGUGGCAAAGCCCAUGAGUGCGAGUUGACGAACGGAAAGUAAAUUGUAUGCAAGGGACUCAACAAGCAUGACUUUCUUGAUCGUUAGAUCAUGAGAAAUGACAACCUUGCCAAGACCCAAUACCUUAGAAUGUGAGGCAUCACCCCACUCGACAUUUUUGGGCAUAGAUGGGAUCUUUUGCACGUCCACCACCAAGUCCUUGCUCCUGGUCAUAUGAUUUGUUGCUCCACUAUCGAGCAACCAUGAUCCCCCACCAGAAGCAAACACCUACAAGAGAUCAAUGCUUGGUUUAAGGUACCCAUUGAGUAAUGGGUCCUUUGAUGUUAGUAACAAGGGUCUUAGGAACCCAAAUAUACCAUUCAAUGUACUCAUAAGAAGAACCAACAAAUUUAGCAUAAACAUGCCCAUCACUAGCACGGCACAACACAUAAGAAGGGUUAAAGUCGCCGACUUUGUUGGGAGAGGUGACUUUGCCCUUUUUGGCAUCACCACUCUUUGCAGUGUUCUUCUUCUCCUUAGGAGUACCCUCUCCCUCCUUCACAAAAGUUUUCUUAAGCGGGGGAGGUCGUUUGAUCUUGUCAUUCUUCUUCUGGUUCUUCUUCUUGUUCUUGGACUUGGGUGAGAACCCACCUCCCUCCUUUGCCACAACUUCAUUUUGAUUGCUCAAAAGGUCAUUUAGGUUCUUCUCACCUUGUAUGCAUGACACAAGGACUCUCUCGAGUUGUUCCUUCAACUUGGCAUUCUCCUCCACAAGAUGCACAUGCUCACAACACGGGUCAGUAGCAUUUGCGUUAUCAAUUAAGAUUAAGUGAGGAAAGGUGGCCUUCUCCUUGGUUAGCUUAACUUGGAGUUGAGCAUGAGACUUCUUGAGGUUAGUAUGAGCACCCUUCAAGACCUUGUGGGCCUUGUCAAGCACAUCAAACUCCUCCUUGACUCUAGCAUGAUCAACCCCAAGUUUAGCCUUCUUGGAAGUCAGCACACGAGACACAACAAGAGCAUGAUCGAGAUCUUCCUUUAACUUGGCAUGGUCAUCGUUUUGUGACUCCUCAAGAGCCAAACGAUGCCCACACUCUUCCUCAAGAGCAUUAGAGAGAUCCGAUAUCUCAUCGACAUAGUCAUGACUAUGACCUUCCAUCUUAGAGAUGGUUUCUUUGUGAGCCUCGAUCAUGUCAUUGGCUUCACCAAGUUGUUCCAAGAGAGCAACAAAGUGCUUCUUGGAUUUGCCCUUGAGCUUACUCAUAAAGGACUCAAAAUCAUUUACCUCCUCAUUAGACCCCUAACCAUCAUCAAUCCCAACCGUCAAACAAGGAUUAGGAAUAAUGGUGGUUUUGAUGUUGGGGGUUACCUUGUUGGUGGCUUUAGCCAUGAGGCACUUGGCGGUGAUGUUCUCGUUGGGUGAAUCGAAGAGAGACACCCGGGAGUUGUGGCAAUGGCAACGGAUGCCAUGGCCAUUGAUUCACUAUCUUCAUCAUCAUCGUCAUCCUCACGGUACUCCUCUUGAACCACCAACCCUUGAGUAGGAGUCUUCUUGGUGAAGUUGUUCUUGUUGGGGAAAGACUUGGCUUUGUCUCUCCGGAUGAGCUUGCCACCAUUGUCUUCCCGCUUCUCGUAAGGACAAUCCGCAACAAAAUGGCUCACAUUGCCACAGUUGAAACAAGUUCUAACUCGUUGCUUGCUCUUGAAGCCACUUGAGUUGUUCUUGUUGAAAUUGGGUCUUGAGUUCUUCUUGCUCCAAAAUUGCCUUGAAGCGAGAGCCAUGUGCUCGUGAUAAUCAUAUUUUGUAUCUUCGGUAUUGCUCUCCUCAUCUUCCUCUUCUUCCUCUUCUUCCACAAUAACCUUGGCCUUCAAGGCAAGGUUGGGCUUCUUUGCUCCUUGAGACCGGAGCACCGCAUUAUCGGCGGUCUUGUCCAAGAUGCUCAUUGCAACGAACUCAUCCAACACUUAACUUGAGGUCAUGGAGUGGAAGUCCGGCCUUUGACGAAUGACGGAGGACAUGGACUUGUUGUAGGGCAUCAUGGCCUUGAGAAACUUGCGUUUGAUCCAAUUGUCAUACGUGUCCUUGCUCCCAUGAUCUCGGAGCGAGACCGCAAGUUUGGUUACUCUCCGAAAGAGCUCACGAGGUUCUUCAUCUUCCUUCAUAGCAAACUCAUCGGCUUCAUCUUGCACUACUUCAUAGUUGGAGCAUUGAAUGCUCGCGCUUCCCCAAUAAAGAGACACAACGCACCGCCUCGCGUCUUUGGCCGUGGAGUAGGGUCGAAGAUGAGGGAGAUCUUUGGGGAGAAUUGCUUCUUGGUUGAUGAAGAGAGCAUUCUCAUUGAAUUGAUUAUCCACGGCUUCUUGAGGGGUGAAGUUGCUUGGGUCAUGUGGAUAGAAACCUUCUUCAAUGAUUCUCCAAAGAUUAGUAUUCACAUGCUUUAAAUGACGCUUGAAGCGAUACACCCAAGAAUCAAAAUCCUCAUUUUUCACAAUCUUAGGAGGAGGACCGACAUGAUUUAAAUGAGUAGACGGAAUCGGUCCACCAUAAGUUGGAGGUUCCACAUGGGCAAAGAUGCCGGAACCAUUUUUACCGCUUGUAGAAGGACCCUUUUCACUGUUAGCUUCCCCUUGUCGGAGGUAGCAUCCGUCACCUUGUUAGCGGGAUCACCCACUUUCAUCAGCGAGGUGGACAAUUUAAGUCCUUCUAAAAAUUUAGUAAACAUGCUUUCAACCUUGGUCCUCAUGGAGUCUUUCAAUGUGUCUAGAGCCACAUUGAAUUCCUCACGAGAGACCGAGGUUCCCCCAUCGGCCAUAGACGAGGUAGGAUUCACGCCGGAGUGCUCUUCCACAACGUCUAUGGCGUCAACCAUACUCUUCGGACGGCAAAGUCCUUAAUAAAGAGACGAAGCUCUGAUACCAAUUGAAAGGAUCAAUAUAGUUGACUAGAGGGAGGGGUGAAUAGGCAACUAACAAUUUUUAAGCUUUUCUUUACCAAUUUAAACUUUGCAUCAAAAUAGGUUGUCUAGAUAUGCAACUAUGUGAGCAACCUAUAUGAUGCAAUAACAACUAGCACAUAAGCAUGCAAUGGAUACAACACAAGUAAGCUUGCAAAAGUAAAGGCACGAAAUAACCAAGAGUGGAGCCAGUGGAGACGAGGAUGUGUUACCGAAGUUCUUUCCUUUUAAGGGGAAGUACGUCUCCGUUAGAGCGGUGUGGAGGCACAAUGCUCCCCAAGAAGCCACUAGGGCCACCGUAAUCUCCUCACGCCCUCACACAAUGCGAAAUGCCGUGAUUCCACUAUUGGUGCCCUUGAAGGCGGCGACCGAACCUUUAUAAACAAGGUUGGGGCAAUCUCCACAACUUAAUUGGAGGCUCCCAACGACAACACGAAGCUUCACCACAAUGGACUAUGGCUCCGAGGUGACCUCAACAGUCUAGGGUGCACAAACACCCAAGAGUAACAAGAUCCGUUAGGGAUUAGUGGGGGGAAUUGAAUAUCUCUUGGUGGAAGUGUAGAUCGGGGCCUUGUCACCCAAUCCCGAGCAAAUCAACAAGUUUGAUUGGCUAGGGAGAGAGAUCGGCCGAAAAUGGAGCUUGGAGCAACAAUGGAGCUUAGGGAUGGAAGAGGUGGUCAACUAGAGGUAGGAGACACACAUUUUAUAGUGGAGGACAACAUCCAACCGUUAUCCACUUAGACCAGCCUGCGACAUGCGGUACUACUGCUCCAGGAGCGCGGUACUACCGCAAGGCCACAUGGUACUACCGUGGGAGACCACGGUACUACCGCGGCAGCUGCAGAGACUAUAACACAAGCAGUAUUACCGCGAGCGUGAUACUACGCUCCCACCUGCGGUACUACCGCGAGGCAGGUAAGUCCUAGUCUGGAAAUGGCACGGAUGAAUAAAAAUACAUCCGUGCCUACUUCCGUGGUCAAAGAGACGAUGCAAACAUCCGUCACGGUACUACCGUGCACAAGGCACGGUACUACCGUGUGUGUGCGGAUGUAAAAAAUUACAUCCGCCCCUACUACCGUGAAGCAACGGCACUAGGCCACGGAACCACGGUACUACAGCUCGGGGGGAGCGAUACUACCGUGGGCACCCGCGGUACUACCGCCCUCAACGUGCGGUACUACCGUGUGGGCGCGGAUGUAAAAAAUUACAUCCGCGCCUACUACCGCGAGGCAGAGGUACUUGGCCAGGGAGCCACGGUACUACGACUCCGAAGGAGCGGUACUACCGUGGGCUCCCACGGUACUACCGCGCAUGGGCACGGUACUACAACAAGUGCCUGCGGUACUACCGCUCCAGGGAGCAGUACUACCGUAAGCUCAGCAACAGUAGUCCGGACACUCACAUAGAGGAUAUACGGGGAAUGCUCCAAAGUGCAAGGGAAAGGAGGAGACAAGGAAGGAAACGUGUACAUGAUGAUUCCACCCGAACCUUUCCGACGCGGACCCCCUCUUAAUAGUACGGCUCUCCUACGACUCAAAUCCACCAAAAAGAAACGUAGAAAAACACCAUCUUCAAUAGUCUUCGAGGGGCACCAAACUGUCUUGUGCCCAGCGAUGAAGCAACUGAGAAACUCAAGGCACACGAUUAGUCUGCUAAAGCAUUGUCAUCAAUCACCAAAACACUUAGGGAUAAAAAUGCCCUUAUAGGAGGAACUCGAAAACGCUUUCAGGGCCAAUUUUCAAGGGACUUAUGUCUGGCCUCCGGAUGCAGACGAUCUAAGUCACAUAAUCCAACAGCCCGGAGAGUCCGCCCGCAAGCUUUGGAACAGAUUCCUCACUAAGAAGAAUCAAAUUGUCGACUGUCCGGACGCUGAAGCCUUAGCGGCUUUCAAACACAGCAUCCGUGACGAAUGGCUCGCCGGCACCUCGUCCAAGAAAAGCCUGCCUUUACGGGCCAACCAGCUAUCCUCACCCGCGUAAAAGCGGGUUAUAAGGCUUGUUAAGGCUGCCAUUGUCCUGAUUCAGGGGCUCUCGACCUGGUCAGCAAAAGAAGCCAUUGAAAGGCAGUAAAGACGGAUCGUCCGGUCUGAACAGAGUCUUGGACAGACUAUGCCAAAUUCAUGGCACCCCGGAGAAACCUGCAAACCACACCCAUAGAGAGUGCUGGGUUUUCAAGCAGGCCGGCAAAUUAAAUGCCGAACACAAGAGGAGGGACACACCAAACGAAGAAGAGGAUGAACCCCACCAGCCGAACACCGGGGUACAGAAAAAAUUCCCGCUAGAGGUUAAAACAGUCAACAUGAUCCAUGCGACUCGCACAUCCACGAGAGGGCAUAAAACACUCGCCCAUAGAAGCACACGAUGUAGAGCCCGUCGUACCCACGUCUCACUACUGGAUGUCUCGUCCGAUCACAUUCGAUCACACGGAUGACCGAACUAGUAUUCGGCACGGAGGAUCACAGGCCUUGGUGCUUGACCCACUAAUCGAUGGAUACCGUCUCACCCGCGUCCUCAUGGACAGCGGCAGUGGUCCCAAUUGAAUAUACGAGGAUACUGUCCGCAGAAAGGGGAUAGACCCAUCCAGAAUUAAACAAAGCAACAUCACCUUUGAAGGGGUGAUACCAGGCGUUGCAGCCUGCGCCAGGGGCUCCGUCGUGCUAGAAGUAACAUUCGGCUCCCCAGGCAACUCCAGAAGCGAAGAGAUGCUCUUCAAUAUCGCACCCUUCCAAAGCAGCUAUCACGCAUUGCUAGGAAGAACGACCUUCGCCUGCUUCAACGCACUGCCACACUAUGGCCACCUUACACUCAAGAUGCCCGGUCCCCGUGGCGUCAUCACUGUUAGCAGAAUCAUAAAGCGCCAUUCAUGCGCAGAGGAAUAUGCGACGGCCCUGGCGGCCGGACUAUAAGCGGCCUCCAGUUUUUAGAAAACAUGAUUGGUCAUUAUGACCACAGACACGGUUAGACGAGUCCGUUAGCCCGGAUAAAUUCAAACAGGGCACUGUAUAUAUAAUCCCGUAAGGGAAACCAGGCGCUGUUUAUAUUUAAUACAGCCCCACGCUUGGCUCGACCUUAUUGGCAGGCCAAUAGUUUACACUCUUAUUAUUAAUCGCAUACUUACGAUGCAGCCUCCUGUGAGUUUUUCUUUUUUACAGACAACGUUCGCGCGAUACCCUUCCAGGAUACGGCACAAUAGAGACAAAGGCGCAGACGUGCAACAGGGCCUUGUGCAACAGGUUUCUUUUUAGAUUAAGCCCCUGUGUAAUCCUUUUCUACUGCCUCUUGUUGUUUAACCAUCCCAUGGGUUCUCUACCCACAGAGGAUACUGCCAUUUUUGGCAUUUGGCCACGGCAGACUAAAAUGCACGUACCUAGAAAUAAAGGGCUUAAAAUAGGCUCUUGUCAGCCUAUCUUCUUUUACAAAAUACCGAAUACCCUCGGGAGUGUUCAGCGUCACGAGUUUGACCAUAUAUGCAUCAGCUCCGAAUCAUGUCUUAGGUCAAAAUGUUGGGUUUGCCCGGCUCCUGGGUAGGCCGCCUUAUGUUUCGCUAUCAUCCGGCUAAGGCAGGCCAAAGGAGAACUACUGCGAUUGUGCCCUGGUUAUUCCGGAUGAGCGCCUCAGUAGAGAAAGCCGAAAACUGACCGUCAUGAUGCAGCGAGAGACUGUUCAACCACUCGAAGACUCACCGGAAUCCCUAAAGAUUCCUUCGCCUUAACGAAGGGCCGUUUUUCGGCCAUGUACACAUGCGCCCAUAUUUGGAUGCACGUAGAGGUACCAGGGGCUACAUAGUCCCCACCAUUAGACUCCCAUGGCUAAGCGAAAGUGUUACAGCUAUAUAGUCUGAUUGCCUAGUUCAGCGUGCGAUCACCUCCUUAACGGACCAAGACGUUGGAUCAAGUGUGCUUAUGCAUAUUUUUUCGCCAACACCCCCGCAUUAUCCGCGAGGGGGCUGAAGCCAACGACUGCUAUCUUUCAGACUACUUAUACAUAUAAGAAUAGCCGCAAAGGGAGGACAAUCAUACUUCCGGGCAAAAGUAUAAACAUAGCCUCAUAAUUAAACUAAACAUUGUUUUCUACAAUGAUUCGACUUAUCACUCGAAUAAAACACUCUUCGAGCACUGCGCCUCUAUCAGGCGGGCACCUUCUGUGACUUGCGCCAAGUAGUGCUCGGCCGGAUGUUGGCCUCCCGACGGAUCCUGGCUUGCUAUUACAGUGGCCUCCAUAUCCGUCCAGUAGGCUUUAACGCGGGCUAGAGCCAUCCGCGCACCUUCUAUGCACGCCGACCUUCUCAGGGCGUCAAUCCAGGACACCGCUCCAAGGAAUUGUUGCACUAAACCAAAGUAGCUGUCCGGCUUAGGCCCCUUCGGCCAAAGAUGGUCUAUUACAGACCGCAUUGCCAGUCCGGACAGCCUGUGGAUCUCCGCCAUAGCAGCCACCUUCUCAUUCAGUGGCAGCUGGCGAGUAGGAGCAUUAAACUGCGACCAGAAAAGCUUCUCCACUUCUUCAUCGCCUUGACCCUCGAAGAACUUGGCAGCGUCAGCUGUACUAUUCACCAAAUCCGCAUAUGCGUCCGCAGGACUCAUGCGACCCGCCAGGGGAGCAUACUUCGGAUCCAAGAACUUCGUCCGCAACAAGUACGAGCCCCCAGCCACGAUUUUGUCAGUUUGUUGGAGCUCCUCCCACAUACUCCGGAUCUCGGUCCGCAUCUCCUUGGCGGCAUUACUUGCCUUGUCCAGCUCGGCCGAACUAGCCUUAUUCUCCUUUUCAAGGAGUGCGUACCGGUCGGCGGCAUUUUUUAACUCUUCAGCCAUUUCGUCUAUCUUUUCCUCUCUUCGGCGAUGAGCAGCCUAUUCGGCUCUCAACUCUUCGACCGCCUUUAGGGCAGCCGCAUUGCUAGCCCGAGCUUGUUCCUUGGCUUGAGCAAGUUCCACCCUCAGGGCCUUCACGGCAGCAGCACCAUCUGCAGUGCACACGUAUUGCAUUAAUAUUAUGCCUUUUGGCAUCUUCGUAUACAUUAUAAUAAAAACCAAGCACAUACCCUGGGACUCCUCUAGCCGUUUAUUCACCAGCGUUAUAUCGGCAUCGAUUGAUCCGAUUUGCCUCCUUAGCUCGACAACUUCAACAGACUGGUCGGCUGCCGGAUCCUUGUAUACCUGCGCACAUGUACGACGCAACCAUUAGUAUAUGAUCCACCGUUUGCCGCUUAUGGCGGGCAACCAGAGUCUCAGGGGCUACUAUCUAUAGGGAGCACACCUAGCGCGUGCUUCAUAACCAAAAAGUUGUGCAUUUUUUCACUACAUACCUCAAAGCCUUUGAGUAGGCUUGUAAAUGCCUCAUUCAAGCCGCCGGUAGCGGAUGAAAUCUUCGUGAGCACCGUGCUCAUUAAAGAGUGGUGCUCCUCCGAGAGUGCGGCUCACUCUAGACGGCCCGUCAGUACGUCCGGCCGGACAUUAAAUUGCGCCGGACCCUUCUCCUCACCCCCCGUGGGAGCCAAACGCUCCGGGCUUAGGGCAGCUGACGUACUAGCCUCCGGCUUUGGCAGAUCCAGACUCCUCCGUGACGACACCUCCGUGUCGCCCGCUUCAUGAGGCGGAGAGCUGGGUGGAGUCUCGCUCUCCAUCAUCUCCGGACGAAGGUCCCCCGAAGACGAACUCUGUUGAGAAGAGCUACUCGCCGGACAACAAAAGGCGAAGUCCUGGUUAUGGAUCUCGGAGUAACGCUACACCUUCGAAUUGAUGAAUAACUUACGGCUCGGUCGAGGGCUGGCCCGUUGGUGGGCAUGACGUGGUGAGGGCGCCCGUCGCGGCAGAACCCCUUGGAGAUGUUUUCUUCCCUUGCUUGGGCGUCUCCGCCUCCAAAUCUUCGGAGGCGGCCCUUUUCCUCCCGCGUGGGGAGGAGGCUUUGACCUCCCCUUCCCGGCUAUCCUCCAUAGGAGGGGUAGCGACUUCCCCGGUCUGGAUGUGCAGCGCGUGAAGUUCAACUUCACUGCCCUUCCCUUCGCCUUUCCCUGUAGGAAUUUUGCUGAGCGCCCGAUCCAGCAUCUUUGCAAUGGUUGGACCAGGCGGGCCUUCAGGAAGUGGCGCCGGACACCUGAUUCUCUUCGCCUUGGCGAGCCAUUCCUGGCCGCGGAGGGAUUGUCAGAAUAACAGUUAUGAUAAAUAUAAAUGAAGUGUCCGGCUUUAAGGUUACUUACUUGGGCAUCUAGGCGAUUGCAGCUUAGGCCCGCAUCCUCGGUGGUGUCCGGACACUUUACUUGUGGUCCAAAGAAUAAUUUACAGAUCCCUUCGAGCUUCAGGCCGAAGAAGUGCUUAAUAGUCCACGGACCCUCCGGAUUAAACUCCCACAUCCGGAGAGGUCGACAUUUGCACGGCAACAUCCGCCGGACUAUCAUCACCUGCAUUAUGCUGACAACAUUUAUGUCCCUCUCAAUAAGCUCCCGGAUACGAUUCUGCAGUUCUGGCACAUCGCCAGCAGGCCCAUAAUUCCGUCCUUCGUCGGUCCAAGACGCUAACUGUGACGGAGGGCCCGAGCGGAACUCGGGGGCAGCUACCCACUUUGUGCCUCUGGGAGCAGUGACAUAGAACCAUCUCCGUUGCCAUACAUCAGACACUUCCGGAAAAGAACCCUCUGGCCAUGGGGCAUCGGCAUUCCUGCUUCUUAUGGCGCCUCCGCACUCCGCAUGUCACCCCUCGAUCAUCUUCGACUUCACAUUGAAGGUCUUUAGCCAUAAGCCGAAGUGUGGGUUGACGUGGAGAAAAGCUUCGCACACAAUAAUGAAAGACGAGAUAUGGAGGAUGGCGUCUGGAGCCAGAUCAUGGAAAUCCAAGCCAUAGUAGAACAUGAGCCCCCUCACAAAGGGGUCGACGGUGAGGCCUAUGCCUCGGAGGAAGUGAGGAGUAAACACGAUGCUCUCAUUGGGCUCCGGCAUGGGGAUGACUUGCCCCGGAGCAUGAAGCCUAUGCUGGAUAUCAGCAGUCAGGUAUCCGACCUCCCUAAGCUUCGCAAUAUCCUCCUCCUGAAUCGAGAAGGCCACCCACCGGCCAGCUGCGUCGGAUCCGGACAUACUGGAGGAUCUGGGGGGCUGGAGCUUAGGUUUUUUGGCGAUGGAGCUCGAGGUAUGAGAAGGAGCGGAGAGGUGGAGAUGAGGCAUAGGCCUCGACCCCUUUAUAAAAGGGAUGAAUACCAAGAGUCCUCAGCGUGGCCGCUUGAGACUUGUCUAAAACACGGAAUUAUACCAACCAUCGCCGUGGGGUCGCAUAUGCCCAUAUUGAUGAAGGAUCCCGUAUUAACAGGGACACGAUCUCUGCUUUGACAGGAUGUGCCGAUAAAACCGGCUCGCAACGCGAGUCGAGGUGGAGCAGGAAGCGCUGGUUCGUGUUGGACCAGGUCAUGAUGCAAGGGCACAAUGUACGAAGAUUGCCAGCAGAACGGAUUUAUGCUAAGGGUAUGUGAAGAUCAUCUUGUAGAUCCGGACACGACCUACGUGUUUGAUAAUCACCUUGGAGUAUUCGGAGGAGGAACCCGCCUUGCAAUGCCGAAGACAAGACUGCACGCCGGACUCAUCAUCAUUGAAGCCUGGUUCAGGGGCUACUGAGGGAGUCCUGGAUAAGGGGGUAUCCGGACAGCCGGACUAUAUUCAUCGUCCGGACUAUAGAAGCGUCAAGACACAAGACUCAAGACUUUGGCUCGUGUCCGGAUGGGGCUCUCCUUUGCGUGGAAGACAAGCUUCGCAAUCCGGAUAUUAUGUUUCCUUCCUUGUAACCAACUCCAUGUAAACCCUAGCUCUCCGGUGUCUAUAUAAACCGGAGAGCAUGGUCCUUAGAAGGCCGAUCACAAUUACAAUCAUACCAUCAUAGGCUAGCUCUUAGGGUUUAGCCUCUACGAUCUCGUGGUAGAUCUACUCUUGUAUUCCACAUAUCUUCAAUAUCAAUCAAGCAGGAAGUAGGGUUUUACCUCCAUCGAGAGCGCCCGAACCUCGGCAAACAUUGUGUCCCUUGCUUCCUGUUACCAUCAGCCUAAGACACACAGAUCGGGACCCCCUACCCGAGAUUCGCCGGUUUUGACACCGACAGCGACCACCGCCACAACUGCAGUUAGAGUUCCAGUGCCACAAUUGCAGCCACAAAAUCCAUCUCAGCAACAACCACAAGAGCAAGUUCCAUUGGUGCAACAACAACAAUUUCUAGGGCAGCAAUAACCAUUUCGACCACAACAACCAUAUCCACAGCCGCAACCAUUUCCUCCACAACUACCAUGUCCGCAGCCGCAACCAUUUCCACCACAACAAUCAUAUCCACAACCACAACCACAGUAUCCGCAACCACAACAAACAAUUUCGCAGCAACAAGCACAACAACAACAAUGACAACAACAACAACAAAUCCUUCAACAAAUUCUACAACAACAACUGAUUCCAUGCAGGGAUGUCGUGUUGCAACAACCCCGAGCUGUCACGGUGCCAAGUCAUCCACAAUGUCGUUCAUGCUAUUAUUCUCCAUCAACAACAACAACAAAAACAACAACAACAACAACAACCGUCGAGCCAGGUCUUCUACCAGCAGCCUCAGCAACAAUAUCCAUCAGGCCAGGGUUCCUUCCAGCCAUCUCAGCAAAACCCACAGGCCCAUGGCUUUGUCCAACCUCAGCAACUGCCACAGUUUGAGGAAAUAAGGAACCUAGCGCUACAGACACUACCAGCAAUGUGCAAUGUCUACAUCCCUCCAUAUUGCUCGACCACCAUUGCGCCAUUUGGCAUCGUGAGUACUAACUGAGAAGAGAAGAACUCUAGUACUAGAUAUAUGAAACACCGUUUUCUUAGACCAUGGUUUGGUCGUUGUAGCGGUGAAGAAUAAAGUGACAUGCACUAUCAUGUAAGAACCCAAACUAGACUAUUUCAAACUUGGAAAUAAAAGACAAACACAGGUCUUGUCUGCAUAUGAUUGUUUGUAUGAGUUCCAUUCAUGUGCCCGUCCACAAGUUCAC